GAGAAAUGGCAAAAGUCCAAGGGAAGGCAAACGUUCGCAAGAUUGACAGUUGUGCAACUUUAAGGACACCACAUUUGAUAAAGAAUUAUCGGAUAACCAAUUUGGGAAUUGUUUACCACCAUAGUUCCUGAUUGACAACUCCUCCAAGUGUUUGGAAGGUUGUAGAUUCUCAAUUACAUCCCUUUCUUUGGCAGAAUCAUCAGGGUUCCGGUGCGAAUUCCAUUCAAACUCUAGUUCCACAAUGCGUGUUUUAUUUUUCAAAUCUGCAGCUAAUGCAUCUGAGGGAUUCUCAAUAUUCUGCAGCUCCCUAAAUGAUAAUCUUUCAUGAACAAGAUUGAGCUCUCCUAAUUGCUGAAUAGUGAACUCGCUACUUUUACCAACGUCAAACGAACUCAUGGAUACUUGAAGAUUCUUCAACUUUCCUAGAUGCGGUGGCACCUUUAUAAUGUUAGUAUUUACAAAUUCAAGGCGAUGCAAAUUGGUGAGUUCAUGCAAAUUUGAGGGCAGCUCCUUCAAAGAUCUACAAUGAUUCAGCUUCAGUAUUUGCAACUUGUAGAGUGAACAUGUGGAUUCAGGUAGUUUUUUAAUGCGAGUAUGGGAAAGGUCUAACGAACGAAGAUGUUUAAAAUUGCAAACAGAGUCAGGCAGCUCUUCAAUGUUUGAACAGUGAGACAGAGAUAAGACGCGUAAGAACUUAAACUUGGAGAACAAUUCAUGUAUCGACAUCUUGCAAUUCCAACUACGGUCAUAAUAUUCAUUCAUUCCCCACCAUGUUGGCAUAAAUGUACGCAAUUUUUUAGUAUCACAUGAAGUUCCAAACUCAUCAAAAUAUCGUUCGGUAAUCAUUGAAACUGAAAAAUGACGGGUUGUUUUCUGUGUACAUUUUGCUUGAUCAACUCUCAACCUGAAAUAGAUGUCCCCACAAACAUAUUUUGCCAAAUCAUUUAGAAGGUCAUGCAUGACAAAUCCUUCUCUUUUUUUUUGCUCAGCAAAGACAAAUCCUUCUUUAUAUAUGCUUGAUUGUUGAAAGAAGGACCUUGAUAGUAGAUCAUUGAAGUACUGUUGGCCAACUUCCUCUGGACUCGUACUGCAUUGAUGGCAGUUUAGGAAAUUUUCAGCCAUCCACAACUGAAUUAAACACUCCUUGUCAAACUCAUAAUCCUUGGGGAAUAAAGCACAGUAAGCAAAGCAUGUCUUGAGAUGGGGAGGAAGGUGGUGAUAGCUCAAUGCUAAAGCAGGAACAAUACUGUCCUUUAAUUCCCAUAUUUCACUUUGGAAUACGCUUUCCCAUUCCCAGGCAAAUGGUUUGUUGUGUAAUAGACUUCCCAUUGACUUCAAGGCCAGAGGAAGUCCUUUACAUUUUUUAACAAUCUUCUUACCAAUAUCUGUGCAUACUGGAUCUCGUGGAAGAUUAUCAUCUCUGAAUGCAUGUUUUGCGAACAAUUCCCAGCAAUAAUCUUCUUGUAAUUGCUCCAGCUUGUGUUGUUCUGACCCCAUGGUAGAAGCAACUUCCUCACUGCGUGUUGUGACAAGGAUCUUACUUCCCUGAGCUCCAUAAACAAGAGCAUUCUGCACAGCUUCCCAUUUAGGUCUGCUUUCGUUCCAAACGUCAUCCAAAACGAGGAGAAAUUUUUUAUCUGCCAAUUUUUCUUUUAGUCUUCUCUGAACUAUUUCUAGCUCUCUACCAUGAUCAGUCGAAUCAGUAAUCGUGUCAAGAAUUGCUCUUGAUACGUUGAAAACAUCAAAUUCCUCUGAAACACAGAUCCAAGCUUUGACAUCAAACUUACUCACUAUUCUUGGGUCAUUGUAUACAAGUUGGGCAAGCGUGGUCUUACCCAACCCGCCCAUGCCCACGAUAGAAAGUAUUGACAGCUUGUUAUCAGUGUUAGAAGUGAGCCAGUUAAUGAUAAUUUCUUUAUCAUCAUCUCUGCCACAAAUAUCACUUUCUACCACCAAAGAUGUUGAUUGUGGCACUUUACCACCAGAUCCUGAUCCAACUACAAGAUCACUAGGCUUUUUCAAACCUAGAUUAUCCAUCCGGCUUGCAAGAUCAUCUAGGUCAUCAAGGACAUUUUUCAUGCUGGAAUUAAUUUCCUUGUUAAAGGAAGUAACAGGGGAAGAUUUGAAGAAAUUGGGUACCUUGCAAGUACAGGUUUGAGAUUCAGAUUGAGGUUGAACUUGGAGUCUGGAGUGUUGUAUUUCAUCCAAGACAUCUUCAACGUCAAGCAUGGCAACUUUGAGCUUAAUAAGCCAGUCUCUCACUGGCAUAUUUCCAAACUGUUUUUGUUCAGCAUCAUCAAGCACAGCUUGGAUGGAGAGGAGCUUGUUUUCUAAGUCCUUCCGCAGCAUCUGGUCGAUCUUUGUUCCACGAAAGAAAUCCAGAACUUGAGGAGAAGCCAGCUUCUGAAAUAGAGCCCCGAGGAAAGAAGAAAGAACAGCACCACCAACGCAUUCUAAUGCCAUUGUAUGGUAGGAAAGGGAGCAGUGGAAUCGAUUAAUGGAAAUCUGUGUUCUCAAGUGCAGCUUAUGCCAAUCACUCAGUGGAAUGAAGUGGUCAUCAAAUCAAAGUAAAGAUCUUUUUGUUUCAAGGUCAGUCAACCAACAACUACUGAGUCUUGCCAACAACACAAACCUUAACAGCUGUAUUCUAUCAAUGAGUGAGUGGCUAUGAUUCUGCUGAGGGUAGCUCUUAUUCUCAUAACAACUUAUUCAUUAAUUGCCUUUUGUAUAUUUACUAGUGUAAAAUCUAAAGAAAUGUUUAUAUACUUUAUAAAGUGUGUAAUUUUUAAUUUAUAAUCUAAUGAAAAUCAUAUGGCCUAAUCAUAAAGUAUACCUUUUAAAGAAUAAUUAGUAUAAUUAGAAUUUAAUUUUCUUUUAUAUAUAUAUAUAUAUAUAUAUAUAUAUAUAACAAAUGUAUAAUUAGAAUUUACUUUUCUUACAUAUACACUUAUUAUUAUAAAGAAUAUCUUUUUCCUAUAUAUGAUUCUCUAAUAAAUCUGUGAGAACAUUACAAAUUGAUAAAAUAAUUUAUAAAUCUUUAUUUUUAAUUUAUUAUUCCUUCCAACAAUAUGAUUUAUCACAAUAAAAAAAAUUAAUCAACGUUUCACAUUGUAUAUUAAUUUAAUUCUUAUAUAAAAAUUACCUCUUUCUCUAAUAAGAAUAUUCCAGAACAUCACAAAUUAUUAAAAUAUUUUAUAAUUUUUUAUUUUUAAUUCAUACUUCAAUCCAAUAAUAUGAUUUAUCUUAAUAAAAAAAUUAAUAUGACGUUUCACAGUCUACACUAAUUCAAUUCUUAAAUUAAAUUUUGUAAUUAUUAGAUAAAUUAAGGUUAUCUUUAAAUACCAGUUAAAUUAGUAAAUGAAACAAUUGUCUUAAAUAUGAUUUAAUGAUACGUUAAUAAGCAUUAAAUAUCAAUCAAAUGAUACAAUUUAAAUUACAUGAAUAAAAUUUAUUGUUACAUUAAAUUCUAUCAAAAACACUAUUAUUAAUAUCAUGAUUUCAAUUUUUAAAAUAUUUAUUAUUGAAAAUAUAAAAUUGAUCCUAAUUCAAAAUUUUAAUUAAUUUAUACUAAUUGUAUUUACGUCAAACUUAAUUUAUGAUAAUAAAAACGAAUUAGAAAGUUUUUAAUAUUAAAUUGAAUUUGAAUAAAUGAAUUUUGAAGAGUAAUAUUUUGUUGUUUCUAAUGCUGAAAACUUUUAAAUUUUAUAUCCUACAAAUUAAAAAUAAAUAUUUUUUCCGUUUAACCCAUUAAAUUGAAUUUGUAAAAUAUAUUUUUUAUAACUAUUUUAUUAUACUUUUUUUACAAAAAUUAGAAAUCAUGGUUAUUUUUUAAUAAAAUUGUGUAUUUAGUUAGGAUUUAAUAAUUUUUUACAUGAACAAAUGAGACAUAUCAUAAAUAAUACUAAAUUUAAGUGCAUUAGUGACACAAAAUUAGACUAAAAUUUUGCAAUCAAUUAAAUAUUAGAAAUGCUUAUAACUUAUGUACCUACCUAGAAUUUUUUUUAAAAUUGGAUUUUUAUCAAAUAUUUAUUCUAUUCCCAAUUAUUAUUAUUAUAAAAUUGAAUUUUUUAUUUUGAUUUGGAUUUAGUUAUAAUUUCUUAUUAAAUGUAUAAAUAUCUUCUAUAUUAAACAUUAUCAAAACUGUAACAAAUAAUCAAUAAUUCAAAUAUUUUUAUUGUUCAAGAUGCAUUUUUUUGUAUUUUUAAUUAUAAUUAAAAUUUUAAUCAGAAUAAUAAGUAUAAAAAAAAUUAUUGAAGAUUUUGAUCCUUAUAUAAACUCAUAUAAAAUUAUUUUAUAAUAACUUUAGAAGUGCAAUUAUCUAAUUCAAAAUUUAAACAUGGUAAACAAUAUAAAGUUAAAUUUUAAAAUAUUUAUUCAUAUAAGUAUAAAAUUGAUCUUAAUUCAAACUUUCUAAUGAAGUCAAAAUUAAUUUAUCAUUUAAAUAAUAAGAAACAUAUAUAGAUGUUAAAUGAUUUAAAUGAAAAUUUUAAAAAUAUUUAUUAAUUCGAUCAAUUUAAAUUGUUGUUACAUACGCAUCUACCUGGGUAUCCUCUUAGAUCCAUGCCUAAAAGUUGUUAUAUAUUCCAAUUAUAAAGCAAAUUAUAUGUGGGAAAUGAAAAGGAUAAAAUAAUUGAAAAUAAAAUGACGAUAUGUCUUAUAUAAAAAUAAAAAAUGGAACGAUGACAUAGUAUGAUAUAUGUCUUUAUAUAUUAAAAAUUUGACGAAUAGAUAUAUGCAUGUUAACCUUAAAUGAAUCUAUUUUGGUAAAAAAAAAAAAUCUUUCUCUUCAAAUACCAUUAUUAGGUAUUAAACUUUAAGACAACAAUAGAAAAACAUUUUUCUUCAAAUAUUUUGGAUGAAAAAUAAUGUUUUGAUUGAAGUUUUGUACAGGAACUCAUUUGGAUGAAAAAAAUAGUGUAAUAUAACAUAAAAUAAAAAAUUUUCACUUGUUUAUUGAUAUUUACACAAUUAAUAAAAAAAAAUGAUUAUUGAUUGAAAUGAUAUUUUUAUGUCCACUUAGGGGUGGGAAUAGGCCAGGCUUUGAAAGGCCUGAGCCUAGACUACGAUGAAUUUUUGAGGCCUGAGCCUAGCACGAUGAAUUUUUGAGGCCUGAACCUGACCUAUAGUUUAUAAAAGGCUUUUAUUUUGGCUCGGCCUGACCUUUUUAAAAGUCUAGCCUGACCUGAUAGCCUUUUUAAAAGCCUUCUUUACAUUACAUCUUUAAUAUCCCUUUUGCUCUUAAGUAGACACGUAAUAGGAAAGUUAAAGGAAAAGAAAACGUUAACAGAAAUAGGAAAGCCAAUAAAAAUAAUGAGAAAUAUAAAGGGGCACAUGAUUUACACCUAAAUUGUAAUUAAAGUCUUACUUGAUUAUAAGAAUAGAAAUUAUGGAACAGUAAUGUGUAAUCAAAGUCUGAUAGUUUAAAAAAAAAUUAAUUGUACCAAAAAAAUAACAUAAGUAUAUAUUGGUACCCAAAAAAUAACAUAAGUAUAUAUACAUAUAUAUAGGUCGGCUUAUCAGGCUUAUAAGAUUUUUUAAUAAGCCUAAGCCUGAUCUAUUUAAUUUAAUAGGUUUUUAAAAAAGUUCGAGCCUAACCUUUUAAUUAAAUAGGCCAGUUCAAGCCAGAUUUUAUGUAGGUCAGGUCGUAGGCCCUUGUAGGCCGGCCUGACCUAUUCCCACCCUACCACUAAUUACUAUUGAUGUUAAUGUUUCUAAUAUUUUGGUUUUAUUCAAUUUUUCUAAUCAAUUAUUUUUUUUGUUGACCUUUUCAUUUCACCGUAACAUCCAUGAACAUAUAUCAUAUGUUAUUUUUCAUAUUCUAAUUAAGAAAACAUCAUAGAGAAAGAGAGGAGGUCUUAUUUCUUAAGUGUAUUUCCCAAAUUUCCAACUUCUUGGAUAUUCUCUUACUUGAUAGGAUUUUUUAACCCGAUAUAAUAUAUUGCAUGCAAAUUUGUUUGAUACCCUUACUUUGUUCACUUAAUGAAAUAUUUAAUUAAGCAAGUUUAGCGCAUUUAGUCAGAUAGUAUGUUUAAAUUUGAUGAUUUAAUUAUUAUGUCCAAAGAAUGGUAUUCAUUUCUUGGUGGUAGCUCUUAAGUUAUGUCCGAUCUUGGUUAAUUAAUGAAAAGUUUAGUCUGUCUAGUCAAUUUCAGUGGUUAAAAUACCGUACAUGUAUAUUUAAGUCGGCAAAUUUACGCAAAGGGGUCACAUUUAGAAACUAUUUAUGCAAAGGGGUCUGUUUUCUAAGUAUUUACGGAGGGGGUCAAUUUUUGCAUAGAAGCCGCCAAUGAUAAUGACGAGAAAGCAUGAGCCGCCAUUGUCAUUGGCGAUACAUGGCUGACGUGGAAGGUGCCGCCAGUGGCACUGGCGAUACUGGCUGACGUGGAGGGUGCCGCUUUCUCCAUUGGUGAGACACGCCACACAUAGGGUCUCGCCUCUCCCAUUGGCGAGACACCUUCACGUUGCAGGCUCACACUGUUAUAGCUUGCCUAGGGUCACACCUUCACGUUACAGCUUGCCCAGGGUCAGUCACAUCAGUGUUUAGGGUUGCAGCCUUAUGUAGGCUAGGUUACAGCUUGGACCUGAAAAUGCAGAGUAGCCUUUUGACCGUUGCUUCUUUACAUUUUCUGCUAUAAAAAAAAACCUCCAUCAACGUAAAUACUACACUUCUCCUUCCAAGCUCAGCUUCUCCUUUCUUAAUCUUGAGUCUCCUUUGAGUGUUUCAGUGUGUGCGUGGUGCGCUUCCUUAAAGUUUUGCUGUGUGCUUUCUUUUCCAUAAUUCAUGGUAAGUGAUUUUCUUAAAUAAAAUUUUUAUAUUCUGUUAGGUUAGUUAGUAUUAAUAGGUAUUGUAAGUUUAGGUUAAUUAGCAUUAAUAGGUAUUCUAAGCUUAGGUUAGUAACUAUUUAUGUUCUUAAUUUUUAUGUAUUAAUAGAUAUUUCAAGGUUAGGUUAGUUAGUAUGAAAAUAUUAUUUAGUUAUUGUAUAUAUUCUUAGAUACUAUAUAUAUAUAUAUAUAUAUAUAUAUAUAUAUAUAUAUGAAUGAUACUUUAGUUAAGGCACACUUAAUAUAAGUUUUGUAAUAUUAGACACAAGUUAAUAUUAGCUUUAGAUAUGUAUUUGUAAAUUUUAGGCUCACGUAAAAUUUAUAUAUUCUGGUAAGUAAUUUUUAAAUUAAAUAAGAUAUAUAUUCUGUUGUUAAAUUAUAAAAAUAGUAGGUUAGUUAGUAUUAAUAGGUAUUCUAAGCUUACGUUAAUUAGUAUGAAAAUAUUAUUUGAUUAGUUAGUAUGAAAUUAUUAUUUAGUUGUUGUAUAUAUUCUUAGAUUUUAUAUAUGUGAUAUUAGCUUUUAUAGUAUUAGGUAUAUAUUUACACGCAUGAUACUUUAGCCAAAUAAAUAUAUAUACACGCAUGAUACUUUAGCCAAGGCACACGUAAUAUUAGCUUUUGUAGUAUUAGGCACAAGUUAAUAUUAACUUUAGGUAUAUAUUUAUAAAUUUUAGGCAUACGUAAAUUUUUAGUUUUUGUAAUAUUAAAUACUUCACACGUAAAUAAAUAAUUGUAAUAUUAGACAUUUCACACACGUAAAUUUAUCUUUUUAGUAUUAUAAUUUUGUAUGUUAUAUAUGGAUAGUACAGUUUUAAAUAAAUGAGUUGAUAAGUUAAUAUUAUUUGAGUUAAUUAUUUUUAGUUAGAAUGUUAUAUAUAUUAUUUUUUAGUUUUAGUUUGUAGGUUAAUAUUAUUUGUUUUAGAAAAUUACGUGAUUAAAUAUAUGAUACAUUGUAAAUUAUUAUUAUUUUUGUAUUACACGUUGUUUAAAUAAUUUUUUGCAUUUCAAUAUUUAUUUGUAUUUUAAUUUAUUUGGUAGUCCAUAUUUUAUUUAAUUAUUUAUUUUUUAAUUGUAGAAUAUAUUAUGUUAUUUAUUUAAAUUUGUUUGUGUGUAUGUAUAUGUAGAAUAUAUUUAAAUUUUAUUAUUUGUAUAAUAUAUUUUGUUAUCAAAUAAAUAUAUUUUGUUAUUUAUUUAAAUUUGUCUUCACAUGUAUUUUAAUUUAUCUAUAGAAUAUAUUCAAAAUUGUCCAGUUUUAUUUAUUACAAAUUUAUUUAUAUAUAUUUAAUAACGUUUUUAUAAAUCUGCGUAGUUUAAUUUAUAUUAUCUACAUAUAAUGUAUAAAUUGUUUUGUGAAUUUAUUGUAUUAUAUUUUAUUUUGCAGUAUCAAUGGCAUCUUCAUCGCCAUGUCCAUCACAUAUCAAAAUUAAGUCUAGCCCGAUCGAUGGUGAUGUAUUACGGAUGCAACCUAAGCAUGAUUCAGAACAUGUUUGGAAUGGGGAAGAAGAUCGGAAAUUACAUAUCAGACGAGUUGUCCCCACGUAUCAAGGGGAAGAAAUUCCAGAGCAAAUUUUUCCUUUCCUUCGACAAUCUGGUUUUUACUGGAUUAUGAAGAUGGGAUACUUAAAAAUAAAUGCCUCAUUAAUUAGUGCUUUGAUAGAAAGAUGGAGGCCGGAAACACAUACGUUUCACAUGAGAUGCAGAAAGUGUACUAUUACUCUUCAAGACGUCUCUAUAUUGUUAGGUCUACGUGUGGAUGGUUUACCAUUAAUCGGUCCAACAAAUCUUAAUUGGGCUGAUUUAUGUGAGGAAUUAUUGGGAAUCAGACCACAAGAAGGAGGUGAAAUUAAAGGUAGUGUGGUUAAAUUAAGUUGGUUGGCUCACCAUUUUGCACAAAUAAAUAACCACGACGACGAAGAACAAGUACGAAGGUUUGCCCAUGCAUGGAUACUAAGAUUCAUUGGAGGUGUCUUGUUCGUUGACAAAUAACAAAGUUUCGCUAAGGUACCUUCAAUUUUUAUGUGACUUUGGAGAUUGUAGCACAUAUGCAUGGGGACCUGCCGUACUUGCUUUUCUAUACAGAGAGAUGUGCAGUGCCACCGAUUAUAAAACUAAAUCAAUCUGAGGUAUGUGCAUCUUACUACAAAUGUGGGCAUGGAAACGAUGUCUAACCUUGGCUCCAAAGAGGACUCCUUCUCAAGUAGAAAAUAAACCACUGGGGCACAGGUUAGUCAUUUUUAAAAGCGUCUUUCAUUUGUUGGACCAUUAAUCGGUCCAACAAAUCUUAAUUGGGCUUAUUUAUGUGAGGAAUUAUUGGGAGUCAGACCACAAGAAGGUGAAAUUAAAGGUAGUGUGGUUAAAUUAAGUUGGCUGACUCACCAUUUUGCACAAAUAAAUAACCACGACGACGAAGAACAAGUACGAAGGUUUGUCCGUGCAUGGAUACUAAGAUUCAUUGGAGGUGUCUUGUUCGUUGACAAAAGCAGUAACAAAGUUUCGCUAAGGUACCUUCAAUUUUUAUGUGACUUUGGAGACUGUAGCACAUAUGCAUGGGGACCUUCCGUACUUGCUUUUCUAUACAGAGAGAUGUGCAGUACCACCGAUCAUAAAACUAAAUCAAUCGGAGGUAUGUGCAUCUUACUACAAAUGUGGGCAUGGGAACAAUGUCCAACCUUGGCUCCAAAGAGGACUCCUUCCCAAGUAGAAAAUAAAUCACUGGGGUACAGGUUAGUCAUUUUUAAAAGCGUCUUUCAUUUCAAAAGAAUAAAUGAUUUUAGGGUAUAUUAAAUUUUAAUCUUUGUAGGUGGCUGCGACGUGGAAACCAACAUAUUGACAAUGAUGAUGUGAGAGUUUUUUGUUGCAAGUUGGAUAUUAUGAAACGUCAUGAGGUAAGAACAUGGUAUUGUAUUUGUAAAAUAAAAAAUGAUGUGUUAUUUUACUAAAAUGAUGUCAACUAUGUUGUUAUAUGCAGUUUGUGUGGGAGCCUUACACAACAACUGUUAUAUCAUUGUUGCCUCCCAUUUGUGUAGUCAGAAGUGUCGCGUGGUGCGCGGUGGUGCCACUUAUUUGUUUCCAAGUCAUUGGGUCUGUAAUUCAAAUAAUAAAUUAAAAUAACAAAUAACACAAAAGUAGGAUAAUAUGAACAUAAAAAAUGUACCUACUACGCAAGUCGCAAUUAAAUCUGAAUCAAGCUUCUCAUGGUCUUGUGUCAUAGUCAUAUUUAGACAUGUGUGCGGUCCACCCCAUUGUGUCACUUUUCAUGCAUCAGUUUUUUUAGAUAAAAUUGCCCUCAUAUAAAAAGGGCAAGGAGACUGUGCGCUAUUGUUGGGGCAAUAAACGAUAUAUUUGUGCGAUUUCGUUUCAACAACCUUAAAACUUUGAUGCACCUUCAUCACAUAUUAUUUCAGUAUAUUUUUGACCACAUCUUUACUGUCAAAAUCUAUGCCAACAUAUAAUUCUUGUCCAACAUUAAAAGUCGUUGGCAUGUCCAAACCACAAAUGUCCUCCUCGUUCGGAUGACUCCAAUUGAUAUUAUUAUAAUGUAAAGCAUCAUUUCAAAAUGGAUUUUGAAUUCCUGGUACACCUAAUAAUUUCAAAAAAAAAAUCACGUCAACAAACUACUCGUAUUUAGUUACCAUUAAAUACAAUUCUCAUAAAAAGAUAGAUGUAUUCAACUAAUUUUGUAUUUCAUAAAAUUUACCUUCAAUUGGGUGAACAAUUGAAACUGGUUCAACGAUGUCGAUGACUUCAUCGUCUGUAUCAGAUAUUCCAUCAACACUAUCAUCUUCAUCGAAAGACUCUUCAACGUAUGAGUUAGAUGCAAGAUAAUCAUCAUCAUCAUCUUCAUCAUGUAAAUUGCUUAUAUUUCUUGGUAGUUCCGACUCAUGAUGAGAUGCAUUAUGUCCACAUGACGUAACAGAAUUUGCAGCAUGAAACAUAGAACCACCAGCAACAUCCUUUUCUACGUACAAUUCUAGAACUGACAUUUGUUGUUGUUGAAAACUUUCGAUCAUAGUUUCAACAUCUUCGUCAUCAGAAAUUUACAAUGCAACAUAUUUUCCUGAAACUAAAAAUCUACAACUUAUAGUAGAAAUAAUUUCAUUAUUUUCUAACUUUACCUUAUCUCCAAUUUUUUUUUCAAAGCAUUGAAACUAAUUCCGUGUUUAAUCUGAAUCGCCUUUUUACUGUCUUCAAAUAUUACACCAUCAUUGUCUUCAUAUACUCUUCCGUUGAAAUACAACACUGUAAUAAUUGAAUUCAUGAUAUACCUACAUGAACAAAAUUAAAAAUAAUUAAUCAUAACAACAGUAGUUUUAAAAUAAAUAAGUGUAUUUGCUUGCUUCAUCUACUAACUUAAACUUAAACUUAAAAUUAAACUUAAACUUAAACUACAGAUUAAAAUUUCAUUCUAACUUCAAAAAACUAGAAGGGAAUCAGGUAAUUAUUUGUAAGGCCUGUCCACCCAUGAACAAAGGCUUAUAAAUAAUUAAACAUUAUUAAAAUAACUUCAAAGUAAAAAACCUAAUUACAAAAAUUAAUAAGCUUAAACUUCAUGUUAAAAUUUGUUUCUAAAUAAAACAAUUAUUACUUCAAUUAAAUAUUUUGUGAAUGAUAAAAAUAAAAAAAAAUCUAUUUGCUUCCUCUAUUAAACUUAAACUAGACAUUAAUACGUCAUUCUAACAAAAGAAUUAUUACUCCAAUUAAAUAAUUCAAAAAAAAUUCCUUAACUUCAAAAACUUGAAGAGUCACCUCUAAAUAUUUUUAACUCACAAAUAGCAUCAACAAAAGUUUAUAAGCGGAAGGGUCACGCGUCAAAUUUCUAAGCCACAAAAACCAUGAACAAAGAGGAUUACAAAUAAUUACUCAUAAUAAUUUUAAAAUAAAAAUUCUAAUUCAAAAAAUUAAUACACUUAAACUUUACCUUCAAAUUUUAGUCUAACAAAAAAAAUUAUUACUUCAAUUAAAUAUUUUGUCAAUGAUACAAAUAAAAAUAUUUAUUUGCUUGCUCUAUUAAACUUAAACUACACAUUCAUACUUUAUUCUAAAAAAAAUUACUCUAAUUAAAUAAUUUAUGAAAAAUUCCUCAACUUCAAAAAAAUUUCAGACACAAAAUGGAAGGGUUACACUUAAAAAAAUUUCAGACACAAAAACCAUAAAAAAAGGCUUACAAAUAAUUACUGCUAAUAAUUUUUAAAUAAAAAAUCUAAUUCACAAAAUUAAUACACUUAAAUUUGAGCUUCAAAUUUGAUUCUAACCACAAAAUUUAUUACUUCAAAAUAAAAAAAUUUGUACAUGAUAAAUAAACAAAAUGAAAGAAGGCUUUCUUUAAAUAAAUACAAAAUAUCCUUACUUUAAAUAAAUAGAAGAUAGAAUCAGCAAACUUCAAGCAAAACGAAACGCCUUUCUUUCUCUCUUCACACUACUUUGUUACUCUCUUCAGUGUCAAAUUUUGCAAGUGCUCUAUUUAAAGAAAAUUUACACCAAAGCUGAAGCAUGCAUGUGAUCUGCAACGUAAAUUUACACGCCAUUAAAGCAUGCAUGUGAUCCUAAAACUGUAUGCAUGUGACCCUGCUGCAUGCCUAGCCUGAAAAUCAGCAAUGCCCUAACCUGAUGCCCUAGCCUGUAACCUGCAAUGCAAGAACAGUGCCCUAGCUAGUAGUCUGAUGGGACUUGCAAAUUCACGUCCACGUUGGUCACGCAUGAGCCAAUGGCGGGACUGUCCACAUUGGCACAUGUCCCGCCAUUGGUAUUGGCGGGAUGAGCUGUCUCGUUGGUCUCACAGGAGCCAAUGGCGGGACUGUCCAUGUUGGCACAUGUCCUGCCAUUGGUAUUGGCGGCAUGGUGUGUAUCGCUGUUGGUGCUGGCGGCACCCAGCCACGUCAGCACCAUUCUCGUCAUUGCUAAUGGCGGUAUUAGUGGUAUCGCAAUUGCAGGUGGCGGCUUCCAUGCAAAAACCGACCCCCUCCGUAAAUACUUACAAAAGAGACUCCUUUACGUAAAUAGUUUAUAAAUGUGACCCACUGAGGUAAAUUUGCCUAUUUAAGCCAUAAUAGUCUGCCGUUAUAUAUACUGUAACUCAACAGAGGAUAAAAACUCUGAUCAAAUUAAUUAAAUAACUCAAUAAAAAAAAUUAAUUGAAUAAAUCAUUUAUUUUUUUCAUUUGCCGACCAUUUUUCUUUUGGUACAUUUUGUUAUUUUUAUCACAUUUUUUCCAUUUUUUUCAUUUUCUUAAUUUUUUCCUUCACUCUUAUUAAGUUUAUAGAUUAGGGCUAGCCAGACUCGGUGGAGGGUUAAUGUGCUAAUGAAAUGUGUAAAAACUAACAAGCUAUUUUAUGAAUGGAGCUUACUAAUAACAGUAGCAAAUAGCAUGUUAGGAUUGUCGGUUUGAAUAGUAUUCCAUGAAUGAAUGAGUGGCUAUUAUUAUGAGAGGAUAGCUUUUGGGAUAUUUUCCAUGGCUUGAUUAGAAAGGGUUUUGUUUGUACGCACUGUGUGUCACACGUUUCUAUACGAUGGCCUGGGAUUUUUUUAUUUGUGGCUGUCAACCAUAGUCUUCCCUAGAGUUUGGGUAAAAAUUAAUCCUGCAUUUGCAAGUUCUAAGAAUUGUGGCAGGGUGAGACUGAGCAGAAUAAGGACCUUUAACACUGAUUUGCACUCCCUGAAGACCAAGCUCAUUCAGCCAGGCAAUGAAAAAGGGUCAAAGCUUCAGCCUUUAAUGGAAGAAUAUUUCCAUCAGAACAAAACGUUUUGGCCCUGAAAAACACACCUCUAUUGCAUGCGGGGGUGUAAAAAUUCCUAUUCUCAUUAUAACCCAACAUAAAUUGAAUAGAUUUUUUUUUGAAAUAAUUCAAGAAAAAAGAAAUGCUUUGAUUUAUAAAACAAAUUCAAUUAACAAAAUUAUUUGUACAAAACGAAAUUGGUUAACUAAACUAGUUUUCAUUUGAAUAUUUUAUUUGAAAAAAGAAAAUUUGAAAAUCAGUUUAAAGUUAAUCUGAUCCUUAUAAUUAGUUUAAAAUUAAUUAAAAAUCAGUUUAGAAUUAAUUUUUUUAGAACUAAUUCGAUUCUGAACUAAUUUUUAAAUUAAUUUAAUUAUUUAAAUAUAAAAUUAAACUAAAAUAAUUUAAAAUUAAUUCAAUUUGAGUUUUUUUUUAUCAAACUAGUUAUUGCAUACGGGUGAAGUCUCAUCCCUUAUGCAGAUUUCCACUCCAAACUCACCUUUGGGACCAAAAACAGCACUCUGUUAGGCGCUUUUCCCAUUCGGCAGGUUGCAACUGCUUAUUAGAAGAUAAUUAAGAAUAAUCAAUAGAAUAAGAACAUGAAGAACGAGGGUUUUCCACUCUCUAAAGCCAUUUUUAGCUCUCUGCACAACUGCAAAAGGGGUCUGAACCUUGCCUUCCCAAAUCAUAACAACCUCAAUUAUUUUCUUUUCAUAUUCUAAUUAAGUUCAAUUAAAUCUUUUUUUCACAUUUACUUACCAUAAAUAUAUUUCUGAUAUUGCUCCACCUACUUCCUUUAUAUAUAUAUAUAUAUAUAUAUAUAUAUAUAUAUAUAUAUAUAUAUAUGGAGAUAAAGAUACAUCAGAUAAUCAUAUCAUAUAUCAUGUUAAUGCUUUCUAAUUUGUAUAAAUAAUAUUAUUUUUGAAAUAUUUAUUUUAUAGUAUAAUUUUAAGAAGUAUUUUUACACUUUUAUUCAAAUAAUUUAAUAAACUAUUUAUUUUGUUUCAAUACUUUUAACAAUUUCAAAUUAUAUCACAUACAAACAUUAAUUUACAAAUAAUUUAUACAAUGAAUAUAUGUUAUUUUAAACAUGUUUUUAUGUGUAAUUCCAACAAACAUUUUACAUUGAAUUACUUUCAUAAUUUAAUGUAAUAUUUUUAAAAAUAUUUAGAUAUAUAUCUCAAAACUAUAUCAUUUAAAUUAUUUAUAGACUUAAAUAUGUUUUUAUUCCUAAUAAAUACUUCAUAUGUAUGUUUGUUUCCCAGUAAAACAACAAUUUUAUUUUUUUGCCUUUCAUAUUUUAUUUGUCCUAGUUGAAUUAAUAAAUUUUGUGUUUAUUGUUUGAAAAUAAAAAAAUUUAUUCCCAACUAUUAACAAAUGAAAUUUUUUAUUAAGGAAAAAAAUUAAAAAUUUAACUAAUUGAUAAUAGACUAACAAAAAGUAUCAAGGAUAAAAAAUAAAAUUAUUUUAUUAAGAAUCCAAUAUAAAGAAAAAUUUAUCUAAAAACAAACAUAAAUUUUUUAUAUUUAUUAAGAAUCAAAAUAUAUUCUAAGUCUUAUUAAUUUAUAAACCCACACAACAGACCAAUAGUUAAUUUUUAAUAAUUCUGACAAAAAAAUGAAAAAAUGGCAGCAACUGAUAUUCACAUAAAGCUAGCACAUCAACAUGAAAAUUUUGCCGGUCCCUUUUGUUAUACACAUUCCAAGCUCUAAGCAGAAGAACUGGGUAUUUUGUACUGUUUCGCAUAAUAUUCUUAAUAGAGUUUUGGAAUCAGUUUCUAGUUUGCUUUUGCCACCUUGCAUUUCCAUGUCACUAGCAAAUUUUAAGUGUUCGAUCAACUCUCGGGUCUGCAAAAUAAUACUGAUUAUUUUACAUGCUUUCUGAGACAUGAUUAUUGCAAGAAGAUAAAGAAGAUAUUUUCUAUCAUUAAUAAAUUAUAGGUGGUCCCACCAAGUUCGGAUAAAGAAGAAAGAUUGUAUUAAGUCAUCAGCAGUAAAAAAAAUUAAAAUAUUAAGAAAAAAAUAAUUUUUUUUAUUACAAAACAAAUAUAAAUCUCUGAUAUACAUGAAGAAAAACCAACAUAGUUAGUCUAAUUAAAUUCAAGAUAUCUAACAUCUUACACAUAUUUAAUUUAAUGAAGACUUUAGUGUGUUUAGUCAAUUUUGGUGACUGACUUAUCAUUAAAGAAAUUUAAGAAGCCUAACAUCAUAUAUAUAUAUAGAGAGAGAGUUUAAUGAUAGUACGCCAAUACAUAAUAAUAAUAAUUUAAAAUGUAUGUGUAAAAAGAACAACUUAAAUAGCUCAGCAGAGCAUAAUAAACUCUGAUCAAACUAAUUAAUAACUCAAAUGUACACCAUUAAGUUUAUAUAUUGAGGCCGGCCAGAUUCAGUGCAGGGUUAAUGAAGUGAUGAAAUAAGUAAUAAGCUAUUUUUAUGAACGAUCUUUGCUAGCAAAUACAGUAGCACAUGUUAGGAAUAUCAGUGUGAGCUUUAUUCCAUGAAUGAAUCAGUGGCUAUAAUUCUACUAAGGGUAGCUUUUGGAAUAUUUUCCAUGACUUUUUUUAAUCACUGUGUGUCACGCGUUUGAGUACGAUUGCUUUAAUUUGGGUUGGUGAACAUCUUUUUCUUUGCUGGCCAGUCAACCGUUACCAUAGUCUUCCCUACAAUACUGAUAUUAACAACAGCUGUAUUUUGCUCACUGUCUUGGCACUUGGGAUAUUUUCGGAAAAUAAUGAACCUACUAUAUUUUAGAAUUUAUUUAGGAGAAAGGUUCCUCCAAAACAAACAUGAGUUCUUUAUCUAAUCAUUGUUGGGAUUUUCUAUUUCAAUAAUAAUUAAUAUGAGUUAAUAUUAUAAGAUAAUUCUAUUAAUUAUUUAUUGUUAUUGGAUUUUAUGUUAUGUGAUCAAAUUAAGUAAUCUCGUUAGACAACCAAAUUCGAUAAUAUGGAUUUAAAGGAGCAUAUGUCAGUGUUGGUCCAUUAAGAGAUAAUGAGAACCUUAUUAGAUUAAUACAUUACAAAUCGUCCCCCCAAUACACUAAAUCACCGACACAUAGAUAGUUUCUCUUCUUGAGGGAAUUGAAUAAUACUUUGCCAAAAACGAAAAGGCGGAAACGAGUAACCUUUUGGCUAAACUCAUCUCCAUGAAGUAUAAGGGCAAAAGUUAUAUAAAAAAGUUUUUGCUCAUAUAAUUUUUGUUUUUGUUUAUUAUUAUUAUUAUUAUUAUUAUUAUUAUUAUUAUUAUUAUUAUUAUUGUUGUUGUUGUUGUCGUUGUUGUUGUUUUUUUGUUAAAAAAGGGGAAAACAAAAGGUGCCCUUAGCAAAAGAAACAAAACAAAGAUGCAAUAUUUACUUGGGGUAUUUUAAGUGUAAAUCAAUGAUAGCAUUAAAUAUAAUUUAAGGAUAUGAUAUUUACUUGUCGUAAUUAAUGUUUUAUAUUUUUUUAGUAUCAUGAUGGAAGUUAAUUUAACAUAUCCUUUCCAUUUAUUUGCAUAUCUAGUGAUUUUUUUAAUUAAAUUGAUUGUUACGAUAUAUUGUCAAGGUAAUCCCUAUUGUGAAAAUUAAUUUGAUUAAAAUUACAAAUUUUUGUAUAAAAUCAUUUAUGUGAAUUAUGUUCAGACCAAAGGAAUACACAAUUUGACCAAAUAAUAUUUUAUAUUUGUGAUGAUAAAUGUGUGACAAUUAUAAGGUAUUUUCAUGUGAAUAAUAGUCGGUCCAAAGAAAGACUAUUAUUUGACAGAUUUAUUGUUAAUAUUUGAUCGUUGCAUUAAGAGUACCAAUUACAAAUUAAUUUAUCUAGAAAUUAAUGUUGUGUUAGGUAUCUUGUAAUGGGUGUGUUCCGUAAAAUAUUUACAUGUUUUAUUAUAUAUUUUUUAUAUAACUAAAUUAUAUGUGAAAGUUGUGUAAUUUUAAUACCUCUCAUUUAUUAUAUUAAAUUGUCUUGUAUUUUUUGGUUUAAUUGAUUGAAACAACAUGUUGUCAAAGUAACCUUUGUUGCAUAAGCUGAUUUGAUUGAAUUUACAUGGAUGUUGCAUGAAAUUAUUCAUGCGAAUUGUGCUCGGCCCAAAGGAAAACACAAUUUGGUAGAAUAAUUAUUGCUUGCGAUGGUAAACAUGUGGUGAUUAUAAAUAGUGUGAUUUUCCAUGUGAAUAAUGAAAUGUUCAAAGGCAAUCAUUAUUUGACCGGGGUAAUUAUCAUAUAAGUUUUUCAUGUGAGCAAUGAAGUGUCCAACGACAACUUUUGUUUGACAGGACUUAUCACCAAUGUUUGAUCAAUGCGUUGAGAGUAUCACUUGCAAUUAAUCUUUUUCGAUCCAAAGAUUGAGGAUUAAUGCGCUAGGUAUCAUGUUUGGCUCUUGAAAUUUACCAUAAAUAUUAUUUUUGUAUUGUAUGUGUAUAUUCUCUUCUUUAAUUAUUGUUGCUACUACUAUGAUUUAAAUUACUCACAUUAUUUAAAUCUCAAAUAUGCAUGUAUAAAAUAAUUUGUAUGGGGGUCCUAAGGUGAUAUAUGAUUAAUCUUGGUAUGCAACACUAGAAAAUAGUAAAACACAUUAUGCGUUAAUUGAAGAGAACAAGAAAUUACAUGUUUUCAUAUCAAAAGUCUAGAAGUUUAGAGAUCAUUGAGUAUUAUGACUUUGAUUUUUUCGAAAUGUCUUAAUAGUAAUCACUCCACAUAAGGAUCCACAUUUAAUCGUGUUGGUGGAGUUAAUAUUUAGCUAUGAGACAUCAUACUAGAAUUUAUAACUGCUAAAUUAUUGUAACUCGCUUGCUUGUUGUUGCCAACAUUAAUUAGCCAUCAGAUGUUUAUUGCAACAAUAUCUUAAUGAUAUCAUUAAAGAUUCAACUAAGUCAAAGUUUGUUGACAUAAAAUAUUUGGUUCUUAAAUAAAGAAUUCAAAAAAUAAAGAUUUGUAUAGAACAUAUAGGAACUCAUUUCAUUCUAGCUGAUUUACUUACUAAAGGUAUGACACUUAAAGUUUUUCAUGAGCACAUUGUUCAUAUGGGUGUAAUUCCUGAUAGUACCUUAGUUUAGUGGGAGUCUUACUUAUGUUAUAUAUCUUACAGUUUACAAGCAUGUUGUGUUUGGAUUGAUCUAUAUAAAGAAUAAAGUUUGGAUCAGUUGGAAAUAGACAUGACUAAGAUCACAUUACAUGUAAUUUCCAUGUUAUUUAUCCAUAUUGACCUAUGUCAUUGAAUGUAUUGAUGUGAUGGUCAUUGGGGUCUAGUUACAUUUGUUGUAGUGACAAAAGCCGUGAUGAUUCCAUUAUUGAUACAUGAGAUGAACCAGAUUGUUAAGGUGAAAGUUUAAAAAUAAAUAGCAUACAUAUGCACGCUUAAGGAUUCUUUAUAUAAUUUGUACAAUAUAUAUGUAGCCCAAGUGGGAGAUUGUUGAAAUUUUCUAUUUUAAUAAUUAAUGUGGGUUAAUAUUAUAAGACAAUUACAUUAGUUAUUUAUCAUUAGUGGGUUUUAUUUUAUGUGAUCAAAUCAAGUGAGUCCCUUAGACAACCAAAUAAGAUGAUAUGAACUUAAAUGAACUUAGAAGAUAAUGAGAACCCUAUUAGGUUAACACAUUAUAAGAAGGCUAUGGUCCCCAAUAUACCGAGCCGCUGACACAUAUGGUUUCUCUUUUCCCCACCUGAAGAGUUAUGAAGGUCUUAUUAAAGAAUAAAAAGGUUCCGGUUGAAGAAGAACCAUGAAGCCACCGGUUACAUUGUUAGCAUUCUGUAACAGGUCCUAUGAAGAGCACAUAGAUAAGAAAUCACAUAAAGAUUCAAUUUCCCUUGUGUUUUUUUCAUCAAUCAUGAUGGACCCAAGUAUUCCUAAAACUCUUCCUGAUAAUAUAAGGUAAUGUGUUCCUGAUAUUUAUAUUUUAUUGGUAUUUUAUAAGGAUCCCUGAAAAUUUACAACUAUCACUACCAAAACCAAAACCAGUAUAUCCAAUCUUAAUAUAACUUAGGUUAUCUUAGGAUUGGAGUUGGUAAAUAUUUUUCUCAAUUUUAAUACAAUAAAAAAAUUUAAUACACCAAAUGAAAUAAGAAAAAAUGUUACUUAUAGAAUAAAAAUACUUUUGACCUCUCACAACUUUAACCAACUAUCACUACCAAAACCAAAACCAGUAUAUCCAAUCUUAAUAUAACUUAGGUUAUCUUAGGAUUGGAGUUGGUAAAUAUUUUUCUCAAUUUUAAUACACAAUAAAAAAAUUUAAUACACCAAAUGAAAUAAGAAAAAAUGUUACUUAUAGGAUAAAAAUACUUUUGACCUCUCACAACUUUAACCAAACAUGCAUUUAAAUAUACCAUAACGAUUUUAUCUUACUAGAUGAUUUACAUACAUUUUAGUUACUUUGCUCAUUUAAGUGUAAUAUAUAUAUAUAGAAAUAAAACUGCUUUAUUAGGAAGUUAGGGAAUAAAUUGCACAUUCAGUUCCCAACUUGCUUGUCAUCUUGCAUUUUCAUGCCACCGGCAGAUUUGAAUUCUUCAUUCAACAUUUUCUAUCAUUAAUAAAUUAUAGCCCGUCCCAUAAGGCUCAAUUAAAGUCAAUUAUAAAACCAAUUAUAUGUGGGAAAUGAAAAAGACAAAAUAAUUGGAAAAUAUGUCUUAUUAAAAAAAUUAAAGAAUAGAUGUAGGUUAAAUAGAAGAAAAAUAAUGUUUUGAUUAAAGUUUUGUUGAGAGUCUCAUUUGUUUAAUUAGAAGAAAAAAUAACAUAACAUGCAUAACAUACCAUAAAAUUUUUUGAUGUACCUAUUGAUAUUCACACAAUUAAUAAAAAAUGACUAUUGAUUCAAAUGACAUUUUUAUGUCCACUCAUUACUAUUGAUCUUAAUGUUUUUUAGAUUUUGGCUUCAUUCAUUUUUUUUCUCACCAAUUUUUUUUUUGGCAUCUACCCAAUCUUUUCAUUUCACCAUCACAUCCAUUAACAUAUAUCAUAUCAUGUGUUAUUUUUCAUAUUCUAAUUAAGACUCAUUAAAGCCUAUUAUUUUUUUCUUAAACAAAAAAUAUAUAUUGUAAAUUUAAGAUAUAAAAUAAAAGUAAAAUUAUUAUUAAGAUAUAGUAUUUAUAGUAUAGUAGUAAAAGUACAAAUAUAAUAACAAAAAGAUGAUACAAGAUAAAAUAUCAACAAAAUGACAAAGGAACAAAAAAUGUUUAAACUUUUACAUAUUAAAACUAGACAGUUUAUUAUUUUCUUUACAAUUAAAUCAAAAGUUGUUAAAGCAAUAUAAUAAAUUAUUGGAUGGAAAAAAUUUAUUAUAUUAUUUGUAAUAAACUUGUUAGUAAAAAUACAUAUGUAAAUGGCGUUGUAAAAUACUUAAGAUGUCUGAUUACAUAUUAAUAAAAUUAUUAGAAAGAUUAUUUUGCAUUUACUUUAAACUCCAAUGAAAAAAAAAAGUAAAUUGCACUUGCAUUACCUAUAUUUUACUCCAAUUUUACCUAAUACUCCAAUUUUUAGUUUUUUUGGCAUCACUUUGACUCCCUUUAAUAAAAUGGUGUUAAUUAAUGGUUAUAAUUUUAUGUUGAAUGAUGAAAUUACCAUUUUCUUUUUUUCUACAUUAACACAACCUCACAAUAUUCUUGUGCCUAAUCCUCCUUGACGUCUCAACUUCAACAUCAAAUUCAUCAUCUUCCUCAAAAACCAACACUUUUAUCUACAUUUGUAGGUGCUUUACCUCCACCAGCUCACUAUUGCUAUGUACCACCUUGUACACCUUCCUAGAUGCUCCACUUCCUUGUACACCAGCUCAAUGAUCUUGUUCUUUCAUCGUACUCUUUGCACAUACAUGAGUGAUAUCCCUACAAAUGUCCUAUGAAAUUUGUCCUAAAAAUCUGUCUAAUAUACAAAUUAUGAACAAUUAUGCUGGAUAUCUUACAUAAAGAUAGACAAAUAAUUAGGGAUAUACAUGAUUAUGUACAAAUAAUCUCAUUACUCCCUUCAAGUUGGAGUAUGCAAAUCGCAAAUGUCCAUAUUGUGCAAUAAGUAAAUCGAGUACUUAGUUGGACCAAGUGCUUUGGUGAGUAUAUAAAUCAAGUCUGAGGUCUUAAGAAGGGAUAGAAGUAGGUUAGAUCCUAUGGCAACUUGGUCAGGCUCAUUUAGCAAAAAAAAUCAAACUGAGUUUUUUUUAAAAAACUUGUUUAGUUAAAAAGGCCAGACAUGGUCUUAAGAAAAACUUAUGAGAUUUGAUGGCUUAAUCCAUUUAGCAAUAAUAUAUUUUUAAAUAAAAAUAUUAUUAUUAAUAUGAUAUAUAAUAUUAUAAUCUAAAAUAAAAUUAGAAAUCCUAUUUCCUUAAGUUUUCUCUACGCAAGUAUGAAGUAAUGCAACUAGUGUUCUUAUAAAACAAAAUAAUCUAAAAACAUGUGAUUAGAAUAAAUCGGAAGAGUGAAUAACAUGGUGGCAAAAGUCAAAUUUGAUAUGGCUGAGGUGAUUAUGCACAAAAGAUACCUUAAAAUUAUAUUGACAUUUAAAUUGGUUUAAGGAUCAGUGUACUUAUAUAAUGUCAGGGCCAAACAUAAAAAAUAAGACGGUCACGUAUAAUAGGUUUAUGCUUGGGCUAUAAAGUUAUAAAGUGGGUUAGACUAUGCUUAGGUAAAGUUUGACUCUGUCUAAACCAUUUUCACAUCUAGACAUAAGUAGGUCCAAUGUUGUCAUUUUGAAUUUCAUCAUGAAUAAAAUGACAGUCAACUUCGAUAUGUUUGGUAAGUUCAUGAAAAACUAAGGGAGUGUUUGGUUUGUCUGUUUUUUGUUUUCAUUUUCACUGAAAACAGAAAAUAGUGAUGAAAAUGUGUUUGGUUGGAUUUUUGAAAACAUUUUCAGUGAAAAUAAAAACAGAAAACAACCAGAAAAUGAAAACAAUAAAAUUUCAUUUUCAAUGUUUUCAGUUGAAAACAGGAACUUCAUUUUGGGUAAAAUGAAAAUGAGAUGACAAUGAAUGUAAUUUAAGCAAAUUUAAAAAUACAAAAAAGACAAGAAAUCAAUAUAUCAUAAAUUUUCAGUGUUUUUAUUUCCUAAAAACAAAAAACAAGAAGUCAAACCAAACAUAUUUUCAGAAUUCUAAUCUUUUGAAAAUAAAAACAGUUUUCAGAAAAUGAAAACAGGAAAUGAAAAACAGAAAAUGAAAAUGCAAUCCAAACACACCCUAACUUUUUGGUGGUGAUCACAAUGAAGAUGGAUAGGUUGAGAACGUGAGAUACUAAGGUUGAAAAGAAUUUUCUUUAACCAUUUUUACUCGUAAAUAAUCGUUAGCAUGAAAUGGUAUUCAACUUUAGUGGAUGAGCAUGAAAUCAUGGGUUGCUUUUUUAGUUUUCCACGAAAUGGAAAAGUUUCCCAAAUGAAUAAAGCAUCAUGUGAGAUGUACCGUCCUUCGAUAUAAUAACAACCCGUAAUAAAAAUAUACUCUAAAAUGCCUAUAAGAUAUGGAUUUAGAAAUUUCAUUGGUUCAAAAUACUUCAAAUAUUAUAAUAAAUGAGUCCUUACAUAAUUAAACAAUUGUAUCCUCAAAUAUGGGUAUCUACAAAGUUGAACUAACAAUAAACUAAGUAUUCAAUUCUCCUUCGUCUGAAAAGUUUCUUCAUUGAACUCUGAAAACAACACUUUUAAUGAGAUAAUAAUCCUAUUGAAUAAAACAAUUUCUAAAAGAUUUCGCAAAUAAUGUUCUCAAUCGACGCAAUAACCUAAAAAUCCAAUCAUUGUAUCCGCAAAAUUAAAUUUAAAAUAAUAUAUACAUACUUAUAAACAAUCACAAAUUAUUCACACAAUGAAAUAACACUCCGGUCAAUAAACAUCAACAGUUCACUACAUUCAAUUCUUGAACAAACUAACAAAUAUCACAACACAACAUAGUGAUUCCCAGAAUCAUUAGCCUCAACUAUUUGGUUCCUGAACCAGUGUGGAUCUCAGACUCUUCAAAUGAUCUAUGAGCUCAUAUUCAUGCAAUAAUGUCUCACUACACCAUCCCUAUCAUAGAUGAAGGUGUCAAGAAUCUUUUUCUCAUCCCAUAUGAAGGUAUCUAUAAUCUCAUCUAUAACAUUCCAUUUUUCGUAAAUAAAUUUAAUUUUUUAUUAUUUAAAAAUAAAUAAAAUUGAAAAAAAAUGAUGAGAUUUUUAUAAUUAAAUAAAUAAGGAGAAAUAACUUUAUUAAUUAAAAUAAUGGUUUGAAAGAAAAUAAAAAAAAGAUAUUUGAUUUAUUCAUUUGAUAAAAAAUAAAUUACAGUAUUUCUUUAUAAAAUAAUAAAUAAAGAAAAUAGAGUAAAUAAUAGGUUGAGAGUAUCCUAACUAUAAAUAGAGACAUGUUAUGUCAGUUUUCAGACAAACGAUAGUCUUUACGGUUUCUCUUCCUCUCAAUUUCGUUUUCCCUUUUCCUCCUCUCAAAACUCUCUUUCUUUUUCCCACAUACACUUAAACCUGUCCUAGUAAAAUGACGAUCUCAAACUUGUUAACCGUUGGAUCAUCAAGAAAUUUGAGCAUCAGGUUUGGAACUCAUCUCUGAACAUUCUCACCAUUAGAAUUUGCGAAACAAUGUCAUCAGAGGUGAUAAAGAUUCCCUUUUAUUGUAGCUUUCUCUUUUCCCGUAGAGACCCAAAACCUAUCCUAGUAAAACUACAAUCCCGUAUUCGUUAAUCGUUGGAUCAUUGUAAAAUUUGGACACCAGCUUUGGAAUUCAUUUUCGCAAAUCACCAUUGGGAUGUGCGGAAUAAUGUUUUUGCAGAGAGAAAUUAGUGUCGCACGUUGACAGUAAAAUGGAGGUUAUAAUAUCUUCUCAUUAUCUCUAAUGCUUGGAAACCCUAACAGAGCAAAAAGAGGAAAAACUUGAGGAAUCUUAAGGAAUUGCCAGAGACACCGCUAUCAUUACUGGACUACAUACAUGAGCCCGCUUAGAGGUAAAGGUUGAGUUUAUCGCCAUUGAGAUUAGAAUAAAUAUGUGUAGGAAUUCUUAGGAGAUCAAAUUGGGGUUUAUUUUAGGAUGUUUAUUGUAUUGUAAUUCUUUCUGUAUGAUUAUGUGAACUAUUUGAGGGAUUUUACUCCCUGUGUUGUGAGAAACAUUUUUGUAUGAUUUGUUUGUGUUUUGGAUAAGAUUAGCAUGAUAAAUAGUUACACUAGGAUCAUUAAAUUGUGAUUGAAAUUUUGUAUAAGUGAUAAAUUGAAUAUGUGAUGAAUUGUGAGAUAACACAUUGCUUUGAGAUUAUAACAUUGUUAUUGAGAUUGAGUAUAAGUGCAAAGUUGAAUGUGUUAAUUUGUGAGAUACACGUAAACAUGUGAUGAUGGAUUGUGACAUUAUGAGACGUUAAAUUGUGGACAUGAGAUUUGAUUGUGAAUAAGUAUAUGGUUAACACUUGAUAAGGCAAUACUUGUACUGUGAGCUGUGAAUUAUACAAUAACCUGACCAGUGUUUACCUUGAGAAAAGUGUUUAUGCACAGUGUUAAAGGGAAAAUGUAGGAUUCAUAUUUAGGAACCAAUGUUAAAUUAUAGCACAAUAUGUUGAAUGUGUUUGAAACACGAGUGUGGGGUCGUGGGUAUUAUAUAAUUCAUGAGUAGUAUCUACGUGCAAAAAUGGUUUUAGGGGUGGGACUUGAAUUAGGAAGGUGAGACCCUAACCAAUUCUUCGGAGUCUAGGCCUUGGGGGUAAAGGCACUCGGUUUGAAUGCUCCUUUAAGCCUAUGUUGAUUUCAUAUGGUUGGAGCAUUCAUGUAAAACAGAGUGAACCUGAUUGGUUACCUUAUGAUUUUACUUAGUGAGAGUGACCUGACAUACCCAUUGUAUGGUGUGUCUUGUUAUGUACUUCUAAGUGUCUCAGGUGAUUUUUUACUGACAUGAUACCACAUUACAUAUAGGCUUGAGUUUUAGUAUAAUUGUUGCAUAACACUUGCUAAUUGUUUAUCAUGAAAUUGAAGAGUGUUAUUACAUCUUGACUUGAAUGUGUGAUUCAUAUAUAAUGUGAUAGGUGAUUGAAGAAUGAAAUUUUAAAUGAUCAAGUGGUGAAGUGAUGUGAGUUGUAUUAAGUUGAACUAUGUUAUAAAUAUUUUUAUAAUAUAUUUGGAUUAUGUCUUUAUUUAUUUGUAUUUUUUUAAAUGUGAUAACUUACUCACUGUGUGCUAUUUGUGUUUAGAUCCUGUGAUGAUCUCAAACUUUGGGUUCGUGGGAGCAGAUGACUAGGUGGAUGACUUUAAAUAACAGUGCUAGAGGACGCUGGAACGCAAUGCUCUGAUAGGAUGUGACAUUGGGAAUGAGUUUUUAUUUUAAUUGCAUGAUGCUAUUUUAUUUUAUUUUAUCUCACUUAUUUAACACAAUUUCUUUUGUAAACUUUGACAGUCUUGCUCCGAGCUGAAUAUGUAUUUGUAUAAGUUUUAUUUGACUAUUAAAGCGAAUGUGAGCCUUUUACCCUUUUGAAAUACUUUUAUUUAAAUGUUUUUGAAAACUAUUAAUUAGUUAUGCUUUUUUAUUCCUUUUAUUAUUAGUAUAUAUAUGUGUAAGAUAGAGGGUGUCACAUCAUUGUCAUUCCAGAUGGAGGUAUCUCAUAUCUCUUCUCCAUCUCAAGUAAAAGUAUCUCAUGCAUAUUCAAUUAUCAAAAUAAGAUAUAUACUUUCAGUUUUAGAGUUUAAAAUCUUUGUGCAAAUAAAUGUAAAAGAUUUUUUUACUAUGGUAGGAAAAUCCAGCAUUUACAGUUGGCUUACAUUUAUCUUAUUUUAAGGAGACAAGCUGUUGGAGUUUUCUGCAAGUGAUUUUUUGUCUUUUAAUUGUUGUUUUAUUGCUUGAUAACUAUGGAUAUGAUUAUUAGUUAUAAAUAGAAAUAAAAUAUAAUUUGUAGAUAUGUUGUGUGGUAAAAAUUUAUUUUAAUCUUUGUAUGACAAACCUUGAAUACGGUUUGAAAUUCUAAAUAUAAAGUUGGGUUUAUAAAAAGUAAGUAAAUAGAUAUUAUAAACUUCAGUUUUUAAGUAUCUUGCUAAAUAAGAUUCACGUUAGACCCCUUUCUGUGUUAACAUAUUACAGACUAUGUAUUUGAUUAAAAAUUAUGAAAUCAAGGCAAUAGAUAUGUUUAACGUACUCAAGCAUUCUGAUGUUGUACUAACAAACAUUGUUUUAUUGUUUUUAUUCUCUAAUCAAAUUCCUGGUUGCAGCAAUUUAUUUCCUUUUUCUAUGUGGUUUCUUUGGUAAGGUUGUGGCAAGAAAUUUAUUGCCGGAACUUGAUACAACUUUAUCAGUUAACUGUGUUCUGCCGCUGCCUUUUCUGUUUUCAUGCAAAUAAAUCAUAAACAAAGAGAAGAUUGAAUUAUUUGGUUAAAAUUAUGUUGAAAUUUGAAAACGUCUCACUCUCACCAGAACCGUUUUAUCUAUGACUUGAUGGUUUGCUUUUCUUAAUUCUUAUUUAUGCAAUAUGGGCAGUUUAAAAGCCAUUUCCAUGAAGUUCGAGUUCUCCCUUACUGCAUAUCAAUUGCCUGUGAUAACUAUGAAGUAUGAAUAGUGUCAUCAAAUUUUGCCCGAAUGUAGAUAUGGGGCAGACAUUGCACGAGGGAUUGUUGAGUUACAUGCUGCAGGCAUUGUUUGCAUGAAUAUAAAAACAUCCAAUCUUCUUCUUGAUUCAACUGGCCUUGCUGUGAUUUCUGAUUACUGCUAUUCUGAAGAAGCAUUCCUGUUGGAAGGGCCAACCUGAGCAUGACUCCUCAAACACAUUAUACAGCUCCAGAGGCUUGGGGGCAACUUCUGAAGAAAUCAUUAAAUUUGUUCUGGGAUGAUGCAAUAGGUAUAUCAGCAGAGUCUGAUGCCUGGAGUUUUGGUUGUACACUGGUGGAGAUGGGCACGGGUUUUGUUCCGUACAUGGAUCAACUCAUCAUUCAAUUUUUCUUUUUCUUUGCAUUCUGGUUUUCUAGAGUUGCAUAUCGCAAAUUCUAUGCUUGUGUAGUUGGGCUGGUUUAAGUUCGGAGGAAAUUUAUCAAGCAGUUGUCAAGGCAAAGAAACUGCUUCCACACUAUGCCAGUGUGGUUGGUGGUGGAAUACCUAGUGAUUUGUGGAGGUUGAUUGGAGAGUGCUUGCAGUUCAAGCCAUCUAAAAGGCCUAGUUUAACUGCAAUGUUGGCAAUAUUUCUCCGUCAUUCGCAGGGAAUGCCGCGCAGCCUUCCUGCAAGCCCAAAUAAGUAAGCCCAUUAUAAUUAUCCAUGACUUGUAUCUUCUAUGCUGUUUUUAUGGCAUCUGAUUGAGCAGUCAAAAUGUAGCCUAUUUAUAGUUUUAGAUGUGUGGUGUGGAAAUGAGCCAAAUUUGCAGUUGUCGUAGAUGCCAAACAAUUGACUUGUACAUGUUUUAUAUUUUUGUAAAUACAGUGAUAGAGUUGUCCCCUGUGCAAGAAUUAGAAGUUUCUCAGAAAAACCCAUUCCAUCUUCAUCAAUGUGUGUCUCGGGGAUGUUAGAAGUGUUAGGUCAGUUGGUGCAUCAAAGUCACAAACAAUCUUCCUUGAGCUUGCUUUCAUUUUCAUUUUGCAAUUCAUUCUUUUUCUUUGUACUUUCCGUACAGUGAUCUUCUUUUCAAGGCUGCAUCAGACUAUGGCAGCAACAGCCUAUCUUCUCUGCUGGAAGCUCAAAAUGCUGAUGAACAAACUGCUCUCCACUUAGCUUGUAGAUGUGGCAGUGCAGAACUUGUUGAGGCAAUUUUGGAGUAUGAAGAGGCAAAUGUUGAUGUCUUGGACAAAGAUGGAGAUCCUCCUCUUGCUUAUGCAUUAGCUGCUGGAUCCCCAGAAUGCGUUCGCAGUCUUAUCAAAAGAGGUGCUAAUGUGAGGCCACAAUUAAGAGAUGGCUUUGGCCCAUCUGUUGCUCAUGUUUGUGCACAUCAUGGCCAACCAGAAUGCAUGCGAGUAUGUUUUACUUUAAUCAUAUUCAGGUUCGUCUUUGCAUUUACUAGAGCUAUAUUCAUAUAAAUAUAUGGUAAAAUAACAGGAAUUACUAUUAGCUGGAGCUGAUCCUAAUGCAGUGGAUGAUGAAGGUGAAUCUAUCCUGCAUAGAGCAGUUCCCAAGAAGUGUUGGACAUUUUAGUGUAAUUGAUCUCUUUAUUAUGUUAAAAUAAGAGUGCACGCUUGUUUUAAUGUAAUAACGAGAUGCUCGGUUUAGGCAAAUUUUGGAAGUUACAUGGAAGUCAAAUUUUGGAAGUUACAUGGAAGUUAUUUUUCAAGAAAAGAAAGUUUUUUUAAAAAAGAUAAACUUCCAUCAACCGCCAACCGUUUUAUUUUAAAGGAUAAAACUUCCAUAACUUCCUUCAACCGCCAAAAACCACCUGUUCUUUGAUUAUAAAUAAUCAUCCUGGUUCAGAAAGCAUAACAUGUGAAAAACAUACAAGACCAAAACAAAACUCUUGAAUUAUAAUCUUCUGAUUUUAUCCGAUUGAACAAUUUUGGUUGAACCCCGAAAUUUGAUUCAAUCUGAAAGUGUUUAUACACGACUUCAGAUUUAUCCAGGAUUAUCUCGAUUUUCAAAAUUAACCAACAAAAGAUUGAAUCAAAUCUUUCGAGAUGACGAACGAUAGUUCGAAGAUGACAAGCAAGUUUGCAAAGUUGGACAAGUUUGAAGGGUAGGAUUUCAGAAGAUGGCAGAAGAAGAUGCACUUUCUCUUGACAACAUUGAAUGUGGUGUAUGUGCUGAGUACACCGAUGCCGGUGUAUAUGGAAGGCGAAACUCUGGAUCAAACAAGGAAGCGUUCGAAAUGGGAGAACGACGAUUACAUUUGUCGUGGACAUAUUCUGAACGGUAUGUCUGACUCUCUCUUUGAUAUUUAUCAAAAUGUUGAGUCUGCUAAGGAAUUAUGGGACUCUCUUGAAUCCAAGUAUAUGGCAGAAGAUGCCUCAAGUAACAAAUUCUUAGUUAGUAAUUUCUUUAAUUACAAAAUGAUUGAUUCGAGGCCUGUUAUGGAGCAAUAUAAUGAACUGCUGCGGAUUUUGGGUCAGUUUACUCAACAUGAUUUGAAAAUGGAUGAAUCCAUUGCAGUUUCAUCUAUAAUUGAUAAACUGCCUUCUUCUUGGAAAGACUUCAAGCAUACCUUGAAACAUAAGAAGGAAGAGUUGACUCUGGUUUAACUCGGUAGUCAUUUCAUGAUUGAGGAGUCGCUGAGGGCUCAGGAAAUUGACAAAGUCAAUAAUAAAACCGUAGCAGGUUCCUCUUCCGUUAAUAUGGUAGAGGAAAGUGGAACAGUUAAGCAAAAUUACAAUGCUAAAGGUAACAAAUGAAAAUUUCAAGGAAAUAAGAACAAAGGUCCAAACAAACAGACAAAAUUGUCUUGUUGGAAGUGUGGGAAACCUGGUCAUUUAAAGAGGGAUUGCCGGGUGUUCAAAGGAAAGAACAAGGUUGGUCCAAGUGGGUCUAAUGAUCCUGAAAAGCAACAAGGUCAGAUUGUAGUGAAUAAUUUUAAUUCGAAUACGAAUUCAAAUUAUGUAUCACUAAUAUCUGAUGCAUUCUAUGUGCAGGAUGAUGACGUUGCUUGGUGGUUUGAUUCGGGAGCAACAAGCCAUGUGUGCAAAGAUCGUCGUUGGUUCAAGGAAUUUAGACCAAUCGAUGAUGGCUCUAUUGUGAAGAUGGGCAAUGUUGCAACUGAACCAAUCCUAGGAUUAGGUUGUGUGAAUUUAGUUUUUACUUCCGGAAAAAGUUUGUAUUUGGAUAAUGUCUUAUUUGUACCUGGUAUUCGUAAGAACUUAUUGUCUGGUAUGGUUUUAAAUAAUUGUGGUUUCAAGCAAGUACUUGAAAGUGACAAGUACAUCUUGUCAAGACAUGGUUCGUUUGUUGGAUUUGGUUAUCGUUGUAAUGGAAUGUUUAAAUUAAACAUUGAUGUUCCUUUUGUUCAUGAAUCUGUUUGUAUGGCCUCGUGUAGUUCUAUAACUAAUAUGACAAAAUCAGAAAUUUGGCAUGCUAGAUUAGGACAUGUUCAUUACAAAAGAUUAAAAGAUAUGUCAAAAACAAGUAUGAUUCCUCCUUUUGAUAUGAACAUUGAAAAAUGCAAAACUUGCAUGUUGACCAAGAUCACUAGGAAACCUUUUAAGGAUGUUAAAAGUGAGACUAAAGUCUUAGACCUUAUUCAUAGUGAUUUGUGUGAUUUGCAUGCUACUCCAUCAUUAGGUCAUAAAAAAUAUCUUGUUACUUUUAUUGAUGAUGCAUCAAGGUAUUGUUAUGUAUAUUUAUUAAAUACAAAAGAUGAAGCUCUUGAUAAAUUUAAAAUUUAUAAGAAAGAGGUAGAACUUCAUCAAAAUGGGCUAAUCAAAACUCUUUGUACGGAUAGGGGAGGUGAGUAUUAUGAUCCGGUUUAUUUUCAAUCUACUGGAAUAAUACAUCAAACUACAGCUCCCUAUACACCACAACAGAAUGGUGUAGCCGAAAGGAAGAAUAGAACCUUGAAAGAAAUGGUGAAUUCCAUGUUAUCCUAUUCGGGUUUAAGUGAAGGAUUUUGGGGUGAGGCUAUGUUGACAGCCUGUUACUUGUUGAACCGAAUUCCUAACAAAAGGAAUAAGGUUACCCCAUAUGAACUUUGGCACAAAAAGACACCAAAUUUGAGUUAUCUCAAAAUUUGGGGAUGUAGGGCUGUAGUCAGGCUUACAGAACCUAAAAGGAAAACCAUAGGUGAAAGAGGUAUAGAUUGCAUAUUUAUUGGAUAUGCUGAACAUUCUAAAGCAUAUAGAUUCUAUGUGCUAGAAUCUAAUGAUUCUGUUGCUGUGAACUCGAUUAUAGAGUCACGAGAUGCUAUCUUUGAUGAACAAAGGUUUACAUCUAUACCUAGGCCAAAGGACAUGAAUUCCAUGUCGAAAGUCUCAGUUAAUAUUGAGGAUAUACCUUUAACUAGUACUGAAACUAGAAAGAGUACGAGAGUAAGAAAAGCUAAGUCAUUUGGUGAUGACUUUCAACUCUAUUUGGUUGAAGGGUCAAGGAAUGAUAUUGAAUUUCAAUAUCAAUAUUGCCUUAAUGUUGAGGAAGACCCAAAGACUUUUAGUGAAGCAAUGGCUUCAAGGGAUGCUGUAUUCUGGAAAGAAGCAAUCCAAAGUGAGAUGGAUUCCAUCAUGCAAAAUAAUACCUGGAAAUUGGUUGACUUACCUCCUGGAUGUAAGCCAUUAGGAUGUAAGAUGAUCUUUAGGAGAAAGAUGAAAGUGGAUGGUACUGUUGACAAGUACAAAGCCAGAUUGGUUAUCCAAGGCUUUAGGCAAAAGGAGGGUAUUGAUUUUUUCGAUACAUAUGCUCCUGUUGCUAGGAUAUCCACUAUUAGACUGUUGUUAGCACUUGCUGCUAUCCACAAUCUGAUGAUUCACCAAAUGGAUGUGAAAACUGCAUUCUUAAAUGGUGAAUUGGAUGAAGAGAUAUACAUGAAACAACCUGAAGGGUUUGUUAUGCCAGGAAAUGAAAAUAAGGUGUGUAAACUGAUGAAAUCUCUUUAUGGCUUGAAACAAGCGCCUAAGCAAUGGCAUCAAAAAUUUGAUGAGGUUGUGUUGUCUAGUGGUUUUGUUAUAAACCAAGCAGAUAAAUGUCUAUACAGCAAGUUUGAUACUCAUGGCAAAGGAGUUAUCAUUUGUCUGUAUGUAGACGACAUGUUGAUCUUUGGUACCGACCAAGAUCAAGUUGAUGAAACUAAGGCAUUUUUGUCUUCUAAGUUUGAUAUGAAAGAUAUGGGGGAGGCGGAUGUGAUCUUAGGAAUAAAGAUUAAACGUGGAAACAAUGGUAUUUUCAUCUCUCAAUCACAUUAUAUUGAGAAGAUAUUGGAGAAAUUUAAUUUUAAAGAUUGUUCUCCGGUAAGUACUCUCAUUGAUCCUAACCUGAAGCUAUUACCUAAUAAAGGUGUAGCAUUGUCUCAACUUGAAUACUCAAGGGCGAUAGGAUCACUCAUGUAUGCAAUGAUUAGUACUAGGCCUGAUAUAGCUUAUGUUGUUGCUAAACUCAGUAGGUUUACAAGUAAUCCUAGUUCUCAUCAUUGGCAAGCUAUGAAUAGAGUAUUCAAAUACUUAAAGGGAACCAUUGAUUAUGGUUUGACAUAUACUAGAUUUCCUUCGGUUAUUGAAGGUUACUCUGAUGCAAGUUGGAUAACCAAUAUGGAGGAUUAUUCAUCCACAAGUGGUUGAGUAUUCCUCCUUGGAGGAGGUGCUAUAUCUUGGGCAUCCAAGAAAUAGACCUGCAUUACAAAUUCAACAAUGGAAUCUGAAUUUGUAGCUUUAGCAGCAGCUGGUAAAGAAGCUGAGUGGCUAAGAAAUCUGAUCUAUGAGAUUCCAUUGUGGCCCAAACCUAUACCUCCCAUGUCUAUCAGGUGUGAUAGUCAGGCAACUUUGGCUAAGGCAUAUAGUCAAGUGUAUAAUGGGAAGUCUAGACACUUGGGUGUUAGACACAACAUAGUUCGGGAGUUAAUCAUGCAUGGUGUGAUAUCAGUGGAGUUUGUGAGAACUCAGCAUAAUUUGGCCGAUCAUUUAACCAAAGGGUUAAGUAGAGAUCUCGUGAAAAGGUCGGCUGUGGGAUUAGGAUUAAAGUCCAUCUGAAAUCUCUUAUGUUAAGAUACCCAAUUCCCAUCUAAUAUGACAUUAGGUGCUGAAUUCAAUGUGGAAAGCUUAACAUGUAGAGAUUGGAACACAUCAUCGAAAUUAUCCCAAAAGGAAUGUGUUCGGUUCUGUAAGUUAAGGAGGUUGAAGUAUAACUUCUCAAUGGUUCUUUUGAAAAAUUGCAUUUACAGGUGCAAGAAAGAAAAGGACUACCUAUAUAAGCAUGAAGUUUAGCCGCUUCAAGAAGCUGGGACUUGGCUUUGAUAUGCUUAUGAAGGAUAGGGACACAGGCUAGUAAAACUAGUGUCGAGCAAGAGUAAUGUUAUAAACUAUUGUGCAGAUUAUCUUCAUGUAUUCAUUAUGAAUAGAAAGGGUUCAAUCCUUAGUGACACCCUGAUAUUCGAAUAUUUGAAACGUGUAAUUUGCUAAGAUGAAAUUCAAUCGUCACGAUAUUUCAUCUAUGCAGUAGUUUGUUGUAUGUUAUGACUUUGGUGAUUUGAUCGGUAAUUACACUAAAAUGGGGGAGGUUUGUUGGACAUUUUAGUGUAAUUGAUCUCUUUAUUAUGUUAAAAUAAGAGUGCACGCUUGUUUUAAUGUAAUAACGAGAUGCUCGGUUUAAGCAAAUUUUGGAAGUUACAUGGAAGUCAAAUUUUGGAAGUUACAUGGAAGUUAUUUUUCAAGAAAAGAAAGUUUUUUUAAAAAAGAUAAACUUCCAUCAACCGCCAACCGUUUUAUUUUAAAGGAUAAAACUUCCAUAACUUCCUUCAACCGCCAAAAACCACCUGUUCUUUGAUUAUAAAUAAUCAUCCUGGUUCAGAAAGCAUAACAUGUGAAAAACAUACAAGACCAAAACAAAACUCUUGAAUUAUAAUCUUCUGAUUUUAUCCGAUUGAACAAUUUUGGUUGAACCCCGAAAUUUGAUUCAAUCUGAAAGUGUUUAUACACGACUUCAGAUUUAUCCAGGAUUAUCUCGAUUUUCAAAAUUAACCAACAAGAAGUCCGCUGACUGUGCCCUUGUGAUACUGGAAAAUGGGGGAAAUGGAUCAAUUGCCAUCUUGAAUCCAAAGAAUAUGUCUUAAGUAUAGAUUUCCCAUCAAUUUUCUUCUUAAGCUUAAAAUGUGUUUGCCAAACUUGUCAAUCAGUCUAGGACUCCAGAGGUACAGAAAGAAACGGAUCUUACUCAUCAAUUUUGCAUAUCCAAUGAUCAAUGUGAAACAUGCACUUUAGCUGUCUCAGUCCACUGCAAUGACAGCAUGGCUUUUCUCUAGCAUGGAGCAGCAAACUCAUGUCGAAACAUGCACCUUAGCUGGAUAAAAUUGAUACAAACUACUUCUGUAAUUUCUUAGCUGCUUGUACAAUUGAGUACAAUUUAGGAUAGGAAUUGGAACAGAAUGACAAUAUAUUUCUCUAAAAUCCUUUAAUGUAUAAUGAAUAAUUGCUGCUAAUGCUCAAUAUCUUACAUAAGUGACAUUUAUUCUUAUUAUCUCUUCAUUAUGGUGCGUUCCUUCUGAAUUUUGAUUCCACUGAAAAACUUUCUAAUUUGCUGGUGGACACUAUCUUAUUGAUGCCAAAUUUUGUUUGUGGUCUUCCAUAGUUCUCUCCAAAUUUAGAGGUCAUGGAUCUUACCUUUUCAAUAGAUAGUUCUUUAUUGAUGUAUGUUGUCUGCGGGCUAAACAAACAGGUUGUUGGUUUCCCCCUAGCACUGGCAGACCUCUUUACUGAUUUUUUUUCAUCUUCUGUGCAUUAUCUAGGUUUAAUCAACAGUCCCUUGUCAUUCUGGUUCCUUAUUCUAUUGAGUUUUUAGUGUGAGCUUUUGUCAGCAAAAGGAAAAAAAAAUCAUAUUGUAAUGCUUUAUAUUACAAUAAUUUUAGUAAUCAAGUUUCAGAAUAACCAUAUUUGUAAAUAGAGAUUUUUUAUUUAUUUAUAAAUUACAUAAUAUAUGAAUACUUACAAUAGUAUGAUGAUAUGAUCAUUGUUUUAUUUGACGACCUUUGUAUAGAGAAUAGAUCUACAUGGUUCUUAUUUCUUAUCACUAGUACUAUUUUUACUUUGGAUAGAGUAAUUAUUAAGUUGUUGGUGUUAUAUUCCAUUUGUUUUUGCUCUCAUGCUAGACUAUACUGAUAGAUUAUAGAUAUCAUCAGGAUACUUUGACAAAUGUCUUUGUGAAGCUUGGGUUUUUAUACCUGUAUCCGUUGUUUUGUUUUUCCUCAUGAGUAAGUUGGGUCUGGUCGUAAUAUAUCUAGGGCAAAGGAAUGGUUUCUUAGAUGUAAAAGAUGGUAGUCUAUUCUUUUACUUUGAAUAAACCACAGUAGAAGAUUUCUGCACUGUGAUAUUGCUGAUGGGAAAACUGGAAAGAAAAAAAUCAAUUAUUCCUGUCUGAAUCAACCAUGGCCACCUCUUCUUUGUCCUUAUUUAAGUAGUACAACAACAACAACAACAACAACGCCUUAUCCCACUAGGUGGGGUCGGCUACAUGGAUCAACUUCCGCCAUAAUGUUCUAUCAAGUACCAUACUUCUAUCCAAACCAUUAAUUUCGAGAUCCUUUUUGAUAACCUCUCUUAUAGUCUUUUUGGGUCUUCCUCUGCCUCGAAUUGUUUGUCUUCUCUCCAUCUGGUCUACUCUUCUCACUACAGAGUCUACCGGUCUUCUCUCUACAUGCCCAAACCACCUAAGUCUAUUUUCCACCAUCUUCUCUACAAUAGGCGCUACUCCAACCAUCUCUCUAAUAGCUUCGUUUCUAAUUUUAUCCUGUCGAGUCUUACCACACAUCCACCGCAACAUCCUCAUCUCCGCUACACCUACUUUAUUCUCAUGUUGGCUCUUGACCGCCCAACAUUCUGUUCCGUACAAAAUUGCCGGUCUUACCGCAGUCCGAUAAAACUUUCCCUUUAGCUUGAUCGGUACCUUUGCAUCACAUAACACCCCCGAUGCUUUUCUCCAUUUCAUCCAUCCUGCUUGAAUGCGAUGAUUCACAUCCCCUUCAAUGCUUCUAGGAAACUGAAAGCAUAUGCUGUAGGUCAAUCAUAUAAUAGCAAGUUAAAUACCACUGAAGCUGGUAUUUUAGCUAAUUUUAAAGGAAAUUGCUUCUUUUUAUCAUAAUUCUGGGGGUUAGUUUUUUAGUUCUUGGGUGUUUUAUUUCUUCUCAUAUUUGUUGGAAUUUCUAUAUGGGAUUGCAACAUUUUAAAUGCAUUCUUGUUUCUGUGUGGGUGUUUGAAUAUAGAUAUCAUUUCGCCUCACAUGCAUCUGUGAUCAUCUAGUUUUACACUUUUGAUGUUGCAGACUGCUGCACUUGUGUGUGACAACUUGGAAUGAUAUCUAAAUUCAAACAUGGGAUUGCUGAAGUUGCAACUUCUGAUGAGAUUGCUGAAUCAAUUGACAUGACAUCCCAAGCCCUAUGAGCACUGCUUUGUGGAUGGCUGCUGCCUCCAAGAAAGAUCAUGAAAGUGGUAUGAAUAUCUGGGAUUAUUGGUUGAUACUUGAUAAUGAUUUUAGAAUUCAUAUUGUCUGUUGAUUGGGCUAUUAUAGUUUUUUAUUCAUACCUGUUGUUAUUGCUGUUUUUUUUUAUUCCAAACAAAGUUCAGUGCAUAUUUUCUUCUAGUAGGUAUUCCUAAUUUAUGCUAAUAAUUAAUAAAGCUUCUGUUUUCUAAAAUAGUUAAGUCAUCUGAUUUUGUUUGCUCAUGCAAAAUAUAGAGGAGAGAGAAUAGGUGCAAAUUUUGCUUUCUGCGGAGCAGAUCCAUCUGCUCAACAUUCACAGCAUGGGCGGACAGCUUUGCAUACAGCUGUUAUGAUUGACGAUGUUAAAUUGGUUAAGGUGAGUAAACCAGAUUCUUGAUUAGAAUGAUUAAAUAUCCAUCAAUAUUCAAUAUCAUGUUGGAAUAUGAAGUAUGUGCCUUUUGUAUCUGAUGUUAACUAACUUCUUUUUUUUGGUGUUGAGUAGGUUAUUCUUGCUGCUGGUGUUGAUGUGAACAUUCGUAAUGUGCACAAUGGCAUUCCUCUUCACAUAGCCUUAGCUAGGGGUGCUAAGUCAUGUGUUGAACUACUUCUAUGUAUUGGGGCAGAUUGCAAUUUGCAGGUUUUAAUUCAAGUUCUGAAUUUACUCUGUUUAACUACAGCAUUACACUAAGUGUUAUACUACUGUUGGUUCUUUAUAUAAGAAACAAAUAAUUAAUUCAUCAAGACCAAUCAAAGUAGUUUAGUUAAUUUUAAUUAAUAAUGUCAUAAAUUAAAAUUUGAUUCCAAAAGUAAAUAUAAAGGCAAAGUUUCAUAUCUCUUAUUAUUGUAUUGUUUCAAAACGAAUAUAUGGUGCUUUGAUCUUAUUUCUUUUUUCCUCUUGAUCUCUCUGAUACAUUAUAAAAUGAUUUUUCUAUUUGAUUAUAGUAGAUUUGGAAUUGAACUUCAUCAUAUGACUGAUUGAUUGCUGAGUUCAGUCUCCAGUUCACUGUAGUCAGCCACUUCGUCACAGAGUAAAUUAAGCCUAAUGAUAAUUUAUAUGGUUAUAAAUGGUUGGGGGACUGACUAAUCUAAGGGACAUGAUUCUUAUUAGAACUCAAAAAGUUACAUAUGCUGUUGAAAAUGUAGAAUGGAAUAUUGAAGUCUCUCUAAGUUUAUACAAUUGUCAUCUGUUUGGGAAUAUUUGAGAUCUAAUGAUAUAGUUGAAACUUGAAAGUUUAGUGUUUGCUUCCAUUGCAGGCAUUUAAUCUGUCAGACAAAUUGCAAUUUAACAAUUUGAGGUUUAUCCUCUUCAAAAAGUUAGUACAUAAUAUCUCAAACUAAGAGUUGGUUCAUAACAUUUUAUGGUGCACUCUAAAAUUGACAACUAGGCAGUUACAAGUAGCACCUGACUGGAACUAAAAUCUUCUCAAUGACAGUUUUUAGAUUGCACCGAACUUCUGGAGGAUGAAGUUUUACAAAUGAAACCUCACCAUUCAUUUUAACUCCUCAAUAGUGAGCCAGAGUUCAGGGGUUGUUAAAGUGUUACUAGCGUAACUUCUGUACCAACACUGAAAAGUGCAUAAACUUUAAAUCUACCUUUUAUCCUAAACAGUAAGUAGGCAUUAGUUUUGAUUUACUGUUGUCUUUAUCAUAUCUAUCUUUUACAUUUUAGGCUGGCUUGUGUACAUGCACAAGGAUAAACAGGGUGGAAUAUGUUUUUUUAACAAAAAAUUGUUACAUGCUAUAAAUAUUUGAAAGUUGACAUUCUAGUGUCCGCCUAUUGUCUGAAAUAAGUUUUGCUAUUAUGUUUCUAAUUUAAAGUUCUAAGCUGUUUAUUUUGUCUCAGGAUGAUGAUGGUAACACUGCUCUCCAUAUAGCAGCAUGAACAGCAAAAAUGAUACGUGAAAAUCUUGAUUGGCUCAUUGUAUGCUUGGGAAUCCUAAUGCUGAUAGUCAGAAACUACUGGCAAGUUGCAGCUCUGUGCACUCAUUCUCAUUAGAUUUUGAUUACAUUUUUUUUCAUCUUUUAACCAUCUGAAAAACUUUUGUCCAUCCUUUUAGAAAACUUUGGCAACUUUCAUUUUUCCAUUCCAAAAGAAAGUCCCUCCUAUGACUUAUAGAGUUAUGUUUUAUUACAGUGGCAAGACUCUAGGUGACAUCUUGGAUGUCCUUCCCCGAGAAUGGAUAUCAGAAGAUCUGAUGGAGGCACUCAUGAAGAAAGGAGUUUGUCUCUCUCCUGCAAUGUAAGGCAACGACAUUUUAUUAUUAUUUUUUUUAUUUACUGUUCUUGAAAUAUCUUCAUUGUAUGUCUUAAAAUAUUUUAGAAUAUCGUAGGAAAUCUUUGAAUUUUGUCAUAUCAAUUACCUCUCGAAUAUAGGAAGAAAUUUUAGCUGUUUCCUAACUUCAUUAUGUUUUUAAUUAUUUUCCUUAUUUAAGUAGGGUUAGGAGUUUAUUGUCUUAGUGUGCUUUUUGCACUUGUAGCAUAGAACUACACCUGUAAGUGACCUAAUUCAUAGUAUAAAUAAGUGCCAGUGUCUGUAAUCUAAUGGAAUACUAUCAAGAACCUUCACUGAGAAAACAAUACAAUUUAGCUCCUUCUUUUUCUCUUUCCCUCCUUUCCUACCUUAAGCCCCAUAAAUUCAAUAGAUGUGAUAUCAUAUUUAUUUUCUAACCACAUCCAACUAUUUUUUUAUAAUUUUUGUUUAUUGUUUUAGAUUUGAAUUGGGAGACUGGGUGAAGUUUAGAAAAACUUCCAUAACUCCAACAAAUGGGUGGGAAGGUGAUCGGCAGAAGCAGGUGGGCUUUUUGCAGAGAGUUCCAGACAAAGAUAAUCUCAUUGCUUCAUUUUGUUCUGGAGAGUAUUAUAGUGUUUUGGCCAAUAAAGUUGUAAAAGUCGUUCCAUUAGACAGGGGACAACAUGUGCAGCUUAAAGAGGAUGUAAAAAAGCCAAGGUUUCUUUCUGCAUAAAUCUUAUAUGAAAUAUAAGUGAGGAAAAGUAUGUGUGAAUUUUCAUCAGUACAUGCAUAUGUUUAUAUUAUGUACAGUAUGAAUUACAAGAGGAACCAUCUUCUAAAUCAGAACUAAUUAGCCCUGGCACCACUCAUCCAUGAGUCAGUAACAUCCAACUAAGCAUUAUAUAAUAUAAUGGCUUCUUUGUGUCCAUGCCUCUGUUGGAGGGAUUUCUAUGAUCCUUUAAAAUAUCUAAAUAGAUUGGAGAGGUCAUAUUUGGAUCCAAUUGCAAGGUACGAGACUUGAGUCCCACAGUAGAAGUGUGGGAUUAGAAUUCUGUUUGAGUCCAGCUUCUCUUAUUAAGGAGAAGAGAAACCCAAAAUAAAUUAGGCCAAGCACUUCCUAAAACAUCAUAUGAUGUCUGGAAAUGAUGUAUAUUUGGCCUUUGUUCUUAUUGCAGAUCAUUUGUGUUAGUCCAACAUGUAUUGCAGGCAGUCUUUACUUUCCAGAUAGUGAUCAUGAGUUGUAAACUAACAAGUAUUACAACACAACUUAGUGAUUUCUAUGAUCACUAGACUCAACUUUUUGGUUUUUAGAACGGAUGUGCAUCUCAAAUUCUUUAAAGGAUCUAUGAGUUUAUAUCCAUGCAAUGACAUCUCACUGUCUACCUCAUCAUAGAUGAAGGUGUCAAGAAUCUCUUUCCCAUCCCAUAUGAAGGUAUCUAUAAUCUCAUCCUCAUCUCAGAUGGAGAUAUCUCAUAUCUUUCUCUCAUCCCAAAUGAAAAUAUCUUUUGGAUAUUCAAUUUUCAAUAAAAUAUACAUUGUCACCACUUCCUAAAAGAUGACUAAUAAAUUACAAAGUCAUACCCCAAAUUAUAACAUCAUGAGAGUCAAUUAAUAAUUAACUAUGAAAUAAAACACACACACAAUAUUAAAUAUAUUUUAGUUGAUAUAUAUGAUAGCUAAACACAAAACUCAAGCAAACUUAUUCAUGAAUUUUUAAAUAAAUUCCAAGAUUAAAUAUGUAACCAAUGAAGAUUUGUACAUUAUAAUACCCCUUUUGUAAAAUUAAAUCAAACCCCACGAAUAGUAACAAUUACAUGUGAAUAUGGUUAUAUCAGACCCUUAAAUAAUGUCAUGCAAUGAUACGACGGAACCUAAAUUUUGCAUCAUCAAUGGAUUAAUUGACACAAAUAUCAAUGUAUCAAUUUAUCGAUUUAUCAUUGGUAAACUCAAAAAGAUGUAUUUCUAAAAUCUAUAUCAUGAAAGUUUAGAAAAAGAAGGUCAUUUUACUCACUUCUUGAAACACAUAGUAAUUCACGCGUUUCACUUAUUAUUCUUCUUCUACUGGGACAACAAGAUUCUUUUUGUUUCUUCUUUCUUCUCAAUCCUAUAUAAUUUACUAAUUUUUUAUUUUCUAAGAGACUGUCUAUAAAACUUUAGAAGAAGAGAAUUAUUUAUUCCUAUAUAAUACAAGGAUAUAUAAUUUAAGAUUAGGUCACAUGAGAUAUAUUCUUAGUAGAUUUGGCUAAUCAAAUCUUUCUUUUUUUUCCUACUUAUUAUCUUGAUUUACCUGAUUAUUAAAAUUAUCUAAUAUUUUAUUUUCUUUCAAGAUAUAUUAAGAUAAACCAUGGUAAAAUUUAAAUCAUUGUCAAUUAUCACAAUUUUACAUGUAACAAAUAUCUUAUCCAAACUAGAUAUACAAUGCUAUAUUAUUAAUAGAAUAAUUAUUUUUACAAUAAUAAUAAUCUUUUUAAUCCUCUUAAUUAGGAUAUGAAAGAGUCACGCUUUCUUUUAUAAUUAUAAAAUAAUCUCAACAAUUUUUAUAUUAACUGACUAAUCUUUUUUAUUUAUAAAACUCAAUAAAGUACUUAAAAGAUACAUAAUCUUUUUAUUCAAUAUUUCAAAGAUAUAUAUAUAUAUAUAUAUAUAUAUAUAUAUAUAUAUAUAUAUAUAUAUUAUCAUAAUUAUUUUAAUUAAAAUUAAUAACAAUUAUUAUAUUAAAAUUUUAGGAUGUUACAUGAGAAUGAGAAGAUAUGUAAGUAUGGAGACGACUUCCCCAUUCUGAAUUACACUAGGCCGUCAAUUGCAAAUCAAAAUUUCUACUCAAGAGCACACACCUUGUUCUGGAUUCCCUACUACUCACAUCAGCCUCCUAAUACUCUUGUCUAGGUUGAUGCAUGAACUGAGACAAUAUGUAAACACAAUAAGACAAUUUUGGUAUAGUUAAACAAAGGUAAAUAAGGCGUCCAACUAUCCGCCUAUAUUAAUCAAGAUGAGAAAAUUCUGAUCCUUCAACAAUACCCAAACCAUGAUUCUGCUCCAUGGGACUAUUUGAUGAUUUUGUUUCAAAAAAAUCUUGUUUCUCUUAUGAUACUCAGAACAGUCAAUUGUAUCAAAUAAAAGAAAGAAGAUAACUCUUCAAUUAUAACAAUUUUAUACAAAAAAUUAAAAAUAUAUAAAAUUUACUUUUUAAGUUGCUUCUAUAAAAAACUAUUAUAACACGUAGAUUUUGUUCUUCACAAAAUCAAGGUCAAGAACCAAUAAAUGUUGAACAUUGACAUUUUCUGCUUCUCUUGCUUAAGUUUUUUUUUUUUUUGGUGAAUUUUUCUCUUGCUUAAGUUUUUUUUUUUUUUGGAUGAAUUUUUCUCUUGGUUAAGUAGGAGGCAUCUAAGUGACAAAGACGCGUUUUCUAUUUCAAGAGUCUUGUUUGGUAUACAAAUUAAAGUCUUUUAUUCUGUAAUCAAUUUAUAGUAAAAAUAUCUGAUUAAUUUUUAUGAAGUUUUAUUUAACGUCCCUUUACUUCAAAAUCACAUGUUAAGAGGAUAGUAAAUGAAUGGGUUUUUUUUAAGUGAAUGCAUCUCUCUCUUACUUUUUUUUUCAAUUUAUACUUUGUAAUUUAAUUCCCAAUAUACACAUUCUCUUUUUUUUGUUUUUUUUUUAAUUUAAAAAUUAUAAAAUAUAAAUAUUAUAUUAUAUAAUUUUUUAAUUGGUUUUAAAAUUAAUUAUUUAUUAAAUUAAAUUUUAUAAUUUUGUUUUUUAAUUUUUUAAAAUAAAAUAAUAUUAUUAAAUAUAAUUAUUUUUAUUUUAUUAUUUAAUUAACUUAACAUAUUUUUAGGUGAAUAUUUUUAUUUAAAAUCUGAAUUUUAUAAUAUAAUUAUAUUACUAAAUAUAAUUAGUUUGUUUAUGUCAUUAGAUUUAAUUAAAAAUGAGAAGACUUUUUGUUCAACAAUUUAUUUAUAGAAAAACAUUAUAUUGCAUUAUCAAUAAAAUACUUAAACAAUUACACUUGACUAAGAAAAAACUUAAAUGAAGAUAUAUUAGGACAAUUGUUUCUGUUAUGAGCAUGUUGCCGACAAAUUCCACAUUUUUUACUACUUUCUCAUUCAUUUUUCAUCUCGGUAGGAAUGCGAGUCGAGACGGGACGACCAUUUGCAGUCCUCUUUCUCCCUUGAUCAUAACCCACUGUAUUUUUUUAACGUGUUUCAUUAUUUUUUACUGUGUUUUUUAGUUUGUUUUAAUUCUACUAACUAAUUUUCUUAUUUUUUAAAUUAACGAACAUAACAAACUAAAUAUAAACAGCACAUAAAUUUAACUACAAAAGUACAUACAACUUAACUAAAAAAUUGUGGUUUUUUUUCCGUGAAUACACCCUCUCUAUCCUGCUUUUACUCAAUCUACACUACAUUGUAAUUUAAUUCCCAAUCUACACACUCUCUCCUUUUUGUUUUUUUUUUAAUUUAAAAUAUUAUAAAAUAUAAAUAUUAUAUUAUAUAAUUUUUUAAUUGGUUUUAAAAUUACUAAUUUAUUAAAUUAAAUUUUAUAAUUUUGUUUUUUAUUUUUUUAAAGAAAAAUAUACAGAUAAAGAAAAAUAAAAAAUUUGGGUAAAAUUAGAGUAUAAUUUUUUGGUUUUUUUUUCCGCCAAUACACUCUGUCUCUCUUGCUUUUUCCCAAUCUACACUACCUUACAAUUUAAUUUUCAAUAUAUACUACUUCGAAAUUUGUGCUUUAAAAGUGGUCAAUCUACACUAGUUUGCAAAUCAACGUGGCCAAGGGACUACUCAGAACAAACAAGUUAUAUAGCUAUGCCAUCUAUACCCAACUCUCUGUCCUUUUUUGUUUUUUUUUUUAAAAAAUUUUUAAAUAUUAUAAAAAAUAAAUAUUAUAUUAUAUAAUUUUUUUAAUUAUUUUUAAAAUUACUUAUUUAUUAAAUUAAAUUUUAUAAUUUUGUUUUUUAAUUUUUUUUUAAAGAAAAUGGUAUUAUUAAACUAACAAGUAUUCUUGAAGUUUUUAAACUUUAUACAAGAAUCCUGCUCUGAUACCACUUGUUGGACAUGUGGCCUCAGUUAUCUUAAGAAGAGGUGAAUUAAUUUCCCACUAACAAACUUUUAACUCCCUUCUAAAUGAGAUAGACUCAGAAUGCAGAAGGAGCAACAAUCAAUUUAAUAAUGUUCUUUAAACAUGGAAGACAAAAUUGAUUAUAACAAAAUAAAUGAGAUAAGGGAAGAGAGAAUGCAAACUCAGUUUUAUACUGGUUUGGCAAAGUCCGUUGCCUACGUCCAGUACUCAAGCAACCCAUUUGAGAUUUUCCACUAUCUUUGUAAAAAUCCUUUACAAAGUUUGAACCACACAGGGACAACCAUUCCCUUGUGUUCAGCAUUCCUUACAACUUAAGAGACCCUCGGUCCCUAAAUCAAUUACAUUGAAUAAGAAGAAAGAAGAGGAAUUCUCUCUUUAAAAGAAGGAUAUUACAAUUUAAGAUCAUGUAAGAAUCCUUAUAAAUUUUGCAAGUGUUUGGCCAAGGAUUUCUUUUGAGAGAGCAUUUAGAAAUUAAUUCACCACUUCUUAAGAUAACUAAGGCCACAUGUCCAACAAUAACUUUCACCUACCAUUGACAAAUUUAGAAGUGAAACAAGCUCCCAUGUGUCGUUCUUCUUGAUUGCCUUUAUUUCUUCAUCUAUAGCAAUUUUCCAAUUCUUGUUCUCAAUGGUUUCAUGGAAGCUCAUGGGUUCGCAAUCAACAAAUAGACAAAAAAGAGUAAGAUUAUCUUGAUUUUAGGUUACCUCAUAAAUUUCUUGUAAGCUCUUGAAGCAUGGAACUAUUUAACUAGAUCUUUCAUCUUCUUGAGUAUUUGCAAUUGGUGAAGUUGAUGGGAUACUAGGAUCCUUUAUUACUUCUUUGAAACACAAAAAAAGUUGUAGGUUCCAUCAUGUGGUCCCUAAUCCCAUUCUCCUUCUUCGUUGAAAUUGACAUCUUGAGUGAUGAUUGUAUUCCCCGAAUUAGGAUUGUAGAGCCUGUAGCCUUUGGAAUUUGAGUCAUAACUAAUGAAGAUGUACUUCUUACUUUUGUCAUCCAACUUGCUUAUUUUCUCAUCUAGUACGUGCUCAUGGGAAAUGCUUCCAAAGACUCUUGGAUGUGAAAUGUCGGGGUUCUUUCCACUCCAUGCUUCUUGUGGUGUUUUUUCCCAUAAACUUAUUGUUGGAGACUGGUUGGAAAGAUAAACUAUACAAGUCACUCCUUCUAUCAAAAAUUCCUUUGGAAGUAUUUUACUCUCGAGCAUGCUCCUCGCCAUGUCUAAUAUUAUUCUAUUCUUCCUUUCUACGACUCCAUUUUGCUUGGGAGAUCUCGGUUCUAUUAAGGGUCAUUGAAUUUCAUGAUCUUCAGAAUACUUUUGAAAUUCAUCCAAUGUAAAUUCUCCACCGUGAUCGAAUCUCAUGGCUUUGAUCUCAAGGCCAUUUUCCUUCUCAACAAGGGCUUUGAACUUUUUGAAAUUCUCAAACACCUCUUAUUUAUGCUUCAGAAAAAGUACUAUGAUUUUCUUGAAAAAUCAUCAAUAAAGAAAAGGAAAUAAUUGCUCCUUCCAAGUGAGCUUGUCUUGAUAGGACUACACACAUCUAUAUGCAUAAGUUCCAAUAAUUUUUUAGCUCUUGAGUUAGACUCCUUUGAAAUGUUUUUCUUGAAUUGCUUACCAAGUAGGCAUCCUUCGCACACUUGAUCAGGGUUACUAUUGCAAGACAAUCCUCUCACUAUUUCUUUCUUGGAGAGCAACUCUAAUUAAUCCUUCAAAAUUGAGAUGCCCAAAUUGAAUAUGCCAAAGCCAAGAUGCAUCCUUGUAGCACAUCUCAAGAUAUUUUGCGACAUCAUUUUGAAUGUUGAGCAAAAUCAUUUUAUUUCUUGACAUUGUCACCUUAGCAAUCAAAUUACUUGCAUUGUCUCUUAUAGAAAGGUUAUUGUCUUUUGAGCGAAUAUCAUAACCUUUCUCUAAGAAUUGCCCCAAGCUUUAGAUAUUACUUUUCAUAUUCGGCACAUAAUAAACAUUUGAGAUGAAUUGAUGCUCACCAUUCUUCAAACGGAUAAGAAUAUUACCUUCCUUUCACUUCUAGCUUGAAUUCAUCUCCAAAGGCCACAUUUUCGUUCAUCGAUUCACCAAGCUCCACCAACAUGAUCUUUUUACUACCCAUAUGAUUGCUUGCACCAGUGUCUAGGUACCAUUUAUUGUCUUUUCUUCUUUCAUCAGUCGUGCAAGUCAUCAAUAAAGGAUCACCUUCUUUACUUUGUUCUUCAACGUAGUUUUCCUUUUCUUCAACUCUAUCAUUGCUAGGAGCUCUACAUUUAGAAGCAUAAGGACCAAACUUGCCACAAUUGUAAAAUUUCACAUUUGACUUGUCAUACCUUGAUCUUGAGUUGUCUUGGCCAUGACCUCUUGUUGAGAUUUCUCCUCUUUGAAAUUUAUUGAGCUUUGCCCAUGGCCCUGUCCUUGUCCAUGACCUUGUCCUCUUCCUUGAUCUUCACUACAACCUCAUCCUUGUUGGCUUCUAUUAUUUUGGCUACUUUCUUCGCUGGUUGAAUAAACUUGUGUCUGAAGUAGUUGUUCCAUGAUCCCUUCCUUUAUUUUAUAAGCUUGUAAUGAGCCCAAAAUUUGCUCAAUGGUUAUAGCCUACAAAUCUUUUGUUUCAUCGAUGAUGGUGACAAUAUGUUCGAACUUUGGAUCUAACGGUCUAAGAAUUUUAUCCAUAAUUUUUAGAUAAUAAAUAUUUUCACCAUUUCUCUUAAGUUGAUUGGUGAUUGUUAAAAUUAUAGAGAAAUAGUCAAAGAUGACUUCAUUUUAUUUCAUAUGAAACAUUUCAAACUUGGCUCUCAAUGUUUGAAAACAUACCUUCUUGACUGGAUUCACUUCCUUGUAUAUGGUUUGAAGCGUCUUUUAUGCUUCUUUUGCCAAAUUUCCUUUUGAAACCUUCUCAAAAGCAUUGUCAUCUAAUCCUUGAUAGAUUAGAUAGAAAGCCUUCUUGUCUCUCUUUCUUGAGUCUCUCAAACCAUCCCUUUGAUUUUGAGAGAGACUAUCCUUAUUCCCUGGCUCGGUAUGGCCUUUCUCUAUUAUCUCUCAAACAUCUUGUGUGCCAAGGAUAGCCUUCAUCUUCAUGCUCUUAUUUUCAUAGUUGUUCUUGUUGAGCAUUGGAACUUGGAAUGGAACCAUGCCGCUACUUGCCAUCUCCUUAUAAAGGACCUUUUAGCUUUGAUGCCUAUUUGUUGAAAUGAAAUUUUUAGUAGUGUAAGAAAUAUUUGAGAAUGGGAGAGAUUAGACAUUUUAGAAGAAGAUACUAUUUGUAUAAAUGAUUCUUCAUUUUUGGCUUGAUUUGAUACAAACUCUAAGACAUCACCCCUAUUUAUAUUAGAGGCUCCUCCUAAACCAAUGGUUAGGAUUUUGUUAACACACACUGAAUUUAAUGACUGCAAAUAAUUCUCUAUAACUUUCUUCGUAGAUACAAUCUUACUCACAAAUUAUAGAUCAUUCUAUAUGCUACUUUAGAAUUAUCUUUUAAAAUAGAUUUCUCUAGAACAUUCUUGUAGAAUUUGGCCUAACGAUGUUUCUAGAAAUUGGGCUUUUAGACUAAUAAGGCUCAAAAUCAAGUUUAUAUUUCAACAUCUCAUGGGUGAAUACAUAUACUAAAUAUUCUCCAUCGGGGGUUUGUCUUUGAUGGAAACUUGAGAAGAAGCAUCAAUGAGUUGGUUGGAUAACAAAGGGAUUUGCAUUCCAUUUGAGAUCAUAGAUUGGGUUAUGGAAGAGUGUGUAUAAAUGGCAUCAUAGAAUAUGGUGGGGACGUCAUUUCUCUCGGUGACCUAAAUGAGUUGGAUGUGAGAAGAGUGUUUGGGGAAUUAAAUAGUGGUGGUGUUGGAAAGAAAAAAGAAGUUGUUGAAAUUAACAGAGUGGCCAUCAUUGAGUUGAAGUUCUUGAUUAGGGGUGGGUAGUUGUUGAAUUGGGAAUAGAGGGAAUAAAUGUCAAAGGCAGCUAUGCCAAGUGUGGUGAACAUUCAUACAAAGUUUUAUUCUUCAUUGUUCAAACUUAAGAUCUAAUUUGUCCCAAUUUUUUCUUUUAAAUUUUUCUUUAAUUCUUGUAUUUUUUUUUUUGGAAUUUAUGACAAUUUUUAACUCCCAUAAAUUGCAUUUUAAAAUUUAAAUUAAAAAAUUUCAUGUAGGUUUGGAUUUAUUCAAACUUAAUUCCAAGCCAAAAAGUAGUACAUUAGAUUUUUACAGGGACAAGAAAAAAAUUGCAAGGACUAAAUCUGAACUACGGUAACUUUUCAGGAUGAAAAAUAUAUUUUAACCUUAUAUUUUCCUAUCAAGUAGUGCUGGUGAAGUGUCAUCUUGUUUUACUUUCUUCUUUAUAUAAAAUCACACUUUAUGUGUAACAUGCAGAAAUCAUGAAAUUGUUGUGGGAAGAUAAAAUUUGAGCCAUAAAAGAGUUGAAUGUCGUUAUUUCAUACGCAUACUACAUGAUGAUGGUGUUUGUUGGAUAAAUUAUGGUGAUGAUGAUUGAUUCACUCAUAAUGAUGAUGGUGUUUAAUGAUUGAAUCUUGAUAUGAUAUUGAUGAGGUGGUGAUUGUUAUGAUUUUCUUUGUUAUGUGGAUUAUGAGACUUAUGCUCUAUGUAUGAUUUUAACAUAUUAUGGUAUAUAUGUGACGAUGGUAGAUUAGGCAUGCUUUAAUUGUGAAGUUUUAUCUUAUUUUAAUAUACUCCUUUAGUCUUUAAACACAAGAACUAUGACAUUUAUUUAAAGUUUAACAAUUAAAUUAAACAAAUAAUAUAAAAUAAUCAUAUUAAAUAUUAAUUACAUGAACCAAAUAAAAAUCCUUUAUAUUCAUCCGUUGCAUGAGUAAUCAAAUUAGGACAUAUUUAUUUGAGUGAUGUUUAUAUAAUCAUCAAAAUUUUAAUGUAAAGAGACUCUUAGAUAUUUAUAAUUAAAUUAAUGAAUACAAUUUUAUUAGAAUGAUGUUUUUAUUUCUUUUUAUAUCAAAACAUCCUCAUAUUUUUAAUGAGUCUAUAAAAAAUUAUACCUUUUAAUCAAUAAUAUAUUCUUUUAAUGUUGCAUUAAUUCAUCUUUAUAUUCAUUUAUGUCACUCGGGUAAUUAUAUUAGGACAAAUUCAUUUGGAUGAUUAAUUUUUUUAAUAAUCAUUGGGUUUUAUUUAUGUUUAAAGAAUCUUAAAUAUUUAUAUUUAAAUUUAAUUCAUACAACUCUUAUAUGAAUGAUAUCUAAAUUUCUUUUUAUAUCAAAACAUCAUUCUUUUUUUAAUUUGAAAUUGUAAAAAUUAUAUUUUAUAAAUUAUUAUAUAUUAUAUUUAUAUUACCCUAAUUUAUAUCUUUAUUUAUCAUGCGUAUCCAUUCAAAAUCAAAUUUAUUUGGAUGAUUAUAUAUAUAUAUAUAUAUAUAUAUAUAUAUAUAUAUAUAAAUAAUCAUUUGGGUUUUUUUAUUGCAAGAGUCUUACAUAUUUCAUAUUUUAAUUUAUGUUUCUUUUUAUAUUAAAACACCUUUCAUUUUUUCAAUUUAAUGUAUAAAAAAUUAUAUUUUUAAACUAUUAUAUAUUUUAUUUAUGACAUGUUAAUCCAUGUUUAUAUUCGUGUAUUAUAUCGGUGACCAUAUUAUAAUCAAAGAUCCCUUGAAGUUGAUACAAUAUUCCAUUAUUCCAUUAUAUUCAUGGAUGAAAAAAAAAAUAUCUUAAAGAUGUUAUUAGUUCAAAUUCACAAGCUUAAGAAGUAAUAUUUUUAACUAUAAAAGUAGUAGUUGUAAUAGUAAUUAUAAGAUAAGUAUAUUUAAAUAUACUUAUUUAGUGACCCAAAAUUUUAGAUGACUCAUUGGUGAAUAUUUCAAAACUAAUAAAGAUUGAAACUAUUUACAACCAAACACAUGUAUAAAUGCUUUUUUGAUUUCAAUAUUAAGCUAAAUGGCAUCAUUGGUGAAAAACAAUAUUUCGCGAGUAUAGAAUUUCAUGUUGUAACAAAUAAAUUCCACAAUUACACAAGGAAAACUUAAGAGAUAACAUCACUUUUAACUAUAGCAAACUUUUAUGAUAUAAGAAAAACAAUUAUCUCAUUAGAAGUAAACUCUUCAUAUGGUUAAGCAAUAUAUUUUUUUGGGGUGGUUGGGAAGCUUAUCUUUUCUUUAAAGAAAACUUUAAUUACACGUCAAUUGUUAAAACAUGAUUCAAAAGAUUGAUAUACCAUUGGUUUUUAUUAAAAAGGAAUUAAAUUUCAUUUGUCUAUAAAUUUAAAGUUUUUUUUAUUUCUAUUGUUAAAUAUGAAAAUUUUAUAACAAGAUAUUGAUCUCGAUAAUUCAUAUUUUUAUCCAUCCGUUGCAUAGGUAAUCAUAUUAGGACAAAUUCAUUUGAGUGAUUUUCUUAUAAUCAUUGAUUUUUUUAAUAUCAAGAUACUCUUAGAUAUUUAUAUUUAAAUUAAUGUAUAAAUUGUUUAUAAGAAUGAUGCUUAUAUUUCUUUUUAUAUUAAAACAUCCUUCAUAUUUUUAAUAUGAAUCUAUAAAAAGUUAUACUUUUUAAACAAUUAUAUAUUCUUCUUUUGUUGCAUCAAUUCAUCUUUAUAUUUUUUAUGCACCCGGGUAAUCAUACUAGAACAAACUCAUUUUGAUGAUUAUUUUUUUUAAUAAUCAUUGUGUUUUUUUAUAUUAAGAAACUAUAAAAUAUUUAUAUUUAAAUUAAUUCAUACAAGUUUUAUAUGAAUGAUGUCUAAUUUUUUUUUAUAUCAAAGCAUCAUUUUUUUUAAUUUGAAAUUAUAAAAAUUAUAUUUUAUAAACUAUUAUAUAUUAUAUUUAUGUUAGCCUAAUUCAUAUUUAUAUUUAUCUAUCAACACAAGUAUCAUAUAAAAUCAUUUGGACUUUUUAUUACAAGAGUCUUAGAUAUUUAACAUAUUUUAAUUUAUAUUUAUUUUUAUAUUAAAACACCUUUCAUUUUCUUUUCAAAUUGAAAGUAUAAAAAAUUGUAUUUUUAAAAUUAUUAUAUAAUCUAUUUAUGUUACGUUGAUUCAUAUUUGUAUCCAUCUAUCACUGGGUAAUCAUAUACUAAGAAAAAUUCGUUGGGAUGUUUAAAUUUUUUUGUAUCAAAACAUUUUCUUAAUUUGGUUAUAUAAAAAAUUAUAUUUUAAAACUAUUAUUUAUUUUAUUUUUAUCAUGUUAAUCCAUAUUUGUAUUCGUGUAUUACAUAAGUAAUCAUAUUAGAGUUUAUCGAUUUGAAUAAAAAAUUUAUAAUCAAAGAUCUAUAGAAGUCAAUACAAUAUUUCAUUAUAUCCAUGAAUGAAAAAAAAAUAUAUCUUAAAAAAGUUAUUAGUUAAAAUUCACAAGCCUAAAAAAUAAUAUUUUUAAUUAUAAAAGUAGUAGUUAUAAAAGUAAUUAUAAGAUAAGUAUAUUUAAAUAUACUCAUUUUAUUGACCCACAAUUUUAGAUGAGUUCAUUGAUGAAUAUUUUAAAAUUAACAAAGAAUGAAACUAUUUACAAAUAAAUACUUAUAUAUAAUUUUUUUGGAUUUAAUUAUUAAGAUAAAUAAUGUCAUUUAAGAGAUAACAUCACUUUUAACUAUUGAGUAUAGACUUUCAUGUUAUAACAAAUAAAUUUCAUAUUACACAAAUAAAAUUUAAGAGAUAAUAUCACUUUUUAUUAUAAUAUACUUUUAUUAUAUAAGAAAUACAAUUAUCUCUUUAAAAGUAAACUCUUCACAUUAUUACACAAGCAUCUCUUCUAUCCCUAAAAUAAGAUGUACAUCGUACAGUUGGAAUGUGGGCAAUCUUUGGCCAGUCUUGGCCUCCUGGGUUCUGGCAACGCUGCUCGAGGUUGGGGCAGGCUAUGAUAAAAAGAUUUGAAAUGGAAUUGGAAAGACCCUCCUCUGGUAGCUGUUGGAGGUUGGGGCAGUUAAUAAUCCAAAGAUUUGAAAUGGAAUUGGGAAGACCCUCCUCUGGUAGCUGUUGGAGGUUGGGGCAGCCAUCAAGAAUCAAUUUCUUGAGAGAGGAGAGCUGACAGAGCCCCUUGUAGUCCAGUUUUUUUAGAUUUGGAAAACCAUAUAUGCUUAGAUUAAUAAGAGAGAGUGGCAGUAAACCUUCAUCAGGAAAAGAUUCCGCAUCCAGCUUUCCUAUCCCCAAGCUUUCCAGAGAGGGAUUGUCUCCCAAAGCCCCUUUCAGUGAGGCCAUGAGUCCGGAGGAGCAUCUUAUGAGUCCGGAUGAGCAUUUAUAGAGUUCAAUCUUUUUUAGAUUUGAUGGCAAACCUCCUUCAGGGAACGACUCAACUCUUGGACAAUCUUUUAUUACUAGCUCCUUCAGAGAUGGAAGCAGCAUAUGCAUGCUUCCAGGCAAUGAUUCUAACUGAGGGCACUUACCGAAUGCCAGAACUUCAAGAUGAUUAUGGGUCUGAUCCUGUGUAAUCAUCAGUAGAUUACGAAAGCCACUGAGACGAAGGGUCCUGAGUGCUGGGAAGAAAUCUAGCGGAAAAGUCUUUUGAGAGUCAAAUCCAUUAUCACUCAUUUCACAAUCGCAAAACAUUUCAUAUUUCGGGCAACAAUAAAUAUUCAGUUCUUUCAAAGUAUCAGACUUUUCCAGCAACGAUGCUUUCAUGCUGUGUCCGCCCAUUCUGAGCUUUUCCAAAGAAGCCCAGUCAAGUUGCAGUUGCAGCUUUCCAGUGUCUUUCAGGUCUAGUACUAGAGCCCUGGGAGCUGAAGCCUCAAGUUGUUUGCACUCACUAAUUUCUAGCUCCUUUAAAGGAAGAAGUUGCUCUGGGAGGUCACCUUUCAGCUUUGGACAUUUGCUUAUAUCAAGAUAUUGAAGACAUGGAAAAGCACCUCUCACAGCUUCACAUUCCCAUUUUUCCCAUGCUUUCAUAGAGGAGAACUUCAAUGUUUCCAACGAUGGAAAUGAAGAGGAGCUAUUCCCAUGAAAAUCAGCACCAAUGCUCACUAUCCCAUCAAGACUUGAAAUCUCAAGUUUCUUGAGAAAUGGCAAAAGUCCAAGGGAAGGCAAAUGUUGGCAAGAUUGACAGUUUCUCAACUCUAAGGACACCACAUUUGAUAAAGAAUUAUUGGAUAACCAAUUAGGGAAUUGUUUACCACCAUAGUUCCUGAUUGACAACUUCUCCAGGUGUUUGGAAGGUUGUAGAUUCUCAAUUACAAUUACAUCCCUUUCUUUGGCAGAAUCAUCAGGGUUCCGGUGCGAAUUCCAUUCAAACUCUAGUUCCACAAGGCGUGUUU
This 52876-nucleotide long non-coding RNA is filed under the name Glycine max (soybean). Its description in RNAcentral is "long non-coding RNA (GMAX_LNC003530)". Lineage: Eukaryota; Viridiplantae; Streptophyta; Magnoliopsida; Fabales; Fabaceae. The record is from RNAcentral.